AAAGAUUUGGCUGUGGAAUGCAAUGCUUGCAAGCUACCAAUCUUGGGUCCAGGUUAUACAUGUCUUGAUUGUUUCAAUAUCAAAAUUCAUGAAUCUUGUCUUGCACUUAUGCGGGAGAUGCAGCUCAACUUUCAUCCAUUACACCUCCUUCAUCCACAAAUUGGCGAUUGGGAAAAUUGUUUUGCCUGUAGAUUUAAAAUCAUUGAAAGUAUCGAUUAUAGUUGUCGACAGUGUGAUUUUCACCUUCAUCUUCAUUGUGCUAAUUCCCUGAAGCUGGCCUUAAAAAUUAAGUCUCACGUGCAUAAUCUCUAUUAUUUUGGACCAGAUUAUGAGAAAUCCUACCAAUUAUGUAACAAAUGCAAAAGUUACAUUGGUAAGGAACCUUUCUAUUAUUGCGUGGAGUGCAAUAUGAAUUUGCACUUAAAAUGUGUUCCCAUACCAUGUUCAGUUAAAUCCAAAUGUCACAUGCAUCGUUUGACUCUUAAAGAUCAUUUUGUGGAAGAUGAUUCUGGAGAAUACUAUUGUGACAUUUGCGAAGAAGAAAGGAACUCAAAAAAUCAUUGCUAUUAUUGUGAAGAGUGUGCUGGACAAUUUGUUGCUCAUAUCGAGUGCGCGCUUCUUACAGUAAGUUUAUCACUAUCAUUUUCUCUGUAGAAGUUUUUUAUACCAUAUUUUGAAUUUUUAAAGGAAAAUAAAAAUCUAAGUUACACAUCACAUGAUCGUAUCCACCACUUCUUUGAUUGAUUGGACUUUAUUAAUGGUUAAAGUAACUCAUAAGUUCAUAUAUUAUAGAUUUUUCAUUAAUUUAAACUUUUUACCCAAAAGUGGUUAAUUUAGUCUUUAUACUUUCAGAUUUUAUGUAAUGGACUAAGUUUGCUUAGCUUUAUCUAAAGUAACCAUUAGUGGUACUAGUGUUACAUUGACAUGUAAGAUAAAAAAAAGGAAAUUGGCCAUGUGGUAUUUUUUUCUUUCCUUUUUUUUCUUCACUUAUUUGUUCAAAACUACAUUGUUUUAGAGUAUUAUUUAAAAGCACCUUUAGUUUUUAUUUUUCAUUUUCAUUCUUUCCUUCUCUCUAGCUCUUUUCUCUCCCUUUGAAUGCAAAUUCUGGCUGUCAAUCACUAGUGGUAUGAAAAUUUAAUAAAAAAAUAAAAAAUUCAUAUUUUUUUGCCUUAUUUCCCAUAAUAAAAAUAGCUUUUUCAAAAUCUAUUUUGAUUUUCCUAGAUUUAAAAUCAUAAACUUGUAAAAAAUAAACUUGUUUCUUUCCACUGCUAUGUUCUUGACUUGAUGUUAAUGAUCAAUGAUUGUGUUUUUAUGUUGUAGGAUUUUGAAUUUACAGAUGAAAAUUUUCAUGAAUUUUUCAACUUGAAAGAUGUUGACUCACCUAUUGAGAGUUCCUCUACGGAUGAGUUGCUUUCCCAACCCCAUGCUGAAGUUUACUUGAACCAAAACAGAAUGGUAGUUAAGUCUUAUUUAAGUUCAUUUUAAAGAUUUCAUCUUUUAUGCGAAAAUGAAUUUUAUUUUAAGAAUAGUUAAAUGAAAGAAAAGUUUCAAAAUUUUGUGGGUGCCAUUGUUGUUGCAGAAGUACUGGGUGGAUAAGAAAUUAAACAAAUACUGCUUCAUGUUGUUUGCAAGAGAUCUUUCAAUCACUUGGGCAGAAAACCACCGUUACUGGCGUUGGUCAUACCAAAGAGAAACAAACAGGUUAGCAUAGAUUUAUUAUCCAUUUAGAAUCUUUACUUCAUAGAUCUAGCUUGACAACUUUUCUAAUCCACAAACUUUUGAUUUUGCAGCGAUGUGUUGAUUGAUGUUGCCGAACUUCUAGAUGUGUGUUGGCUAGAAAUGAAUGUGAAAUUCAACGUAAAAAAGCUCUCACCGAAAACAUUGUAUGGACUUGUGUUCGUGCUUAUGUUGACAAAAGAAGCACGUGGAUGGGAAACUCCAGUGAACUUCGGAUUCACUCUUCCAAAUGGGUACAAGGUUGAACGCAAGGAAACUUUGAAGUCCAAGCCGAGAGGAGUAUGGAUAGAAAUCCCCGUUGGAGAAUUUACAACUUCAUCUGAAAUUGUUGGAGAAUUUGAUAUUUACUGUCACGAAUAUGCUACAGGGAAUUGGAAGAGAGGACUUAUUGUUAAAGGAGUUACUAUUCUGCCAAAGAAUUAAACAACAAAUUAGUAUUUUCUCACAAUAAAUCUGAAAGUACUGUAGUUUUUCUAUUUGUUCAUAAUCUUGCAAAUUCGAAAAUGACAUGAACCUAAAAGGAACAAACUCAUCCAAUUAUCACUUCAACAACCAGUUCUUUGGUCCUCAUUUUAAUGUAUAGGUUCCAUGCUAAAUGCAACAAACAAGGCCAUUGAUUUUUUUGGUAUUUUUUAUAAGAUUUUAUGACCACUAGUGGCUAGUGGUUGGCUGUUGAAAUCUGGGUUUGGGGAUCAAAGUCUAAAACAGAAUGAUUAGAUAGAGAGCAAGAGAGAGAAGGAAAGAAGGAAAAAUGAAAAAAGAGAAAAAUAAAUGUCCUUUAAAUUGUAGGUUUACAAUGAUUGGUUUUGGACAAAAGAGAGAAAAAAGAAAAAGAUAAGCCAUGUGACCAAUUUCUUCUUUUAGUCUAACAUGUCAACAUUAGCAUUUUUUUUUAUAUCAAUUUAACUUUAGUAUCACUAAUAGUUAAUUUGGAUGGAGUUAGACAAAGAGACUCAAUGGUACAAAUUCUGGGUAUACAAGGACUAAAUUAAUCAGUUUUGGAUAAAUGGACUAAAUUGACAAAAAAAAAUCUUUAAUAUAGGGAUCUAUGAGGUACUUUGACCAUUAAUAAAUUUCAAUCAAUCAAAGAGGUGAUGGCUAUGAUCAUGUAAUGUGUAUGUGUAAUUGAGAUUUUUAUUUUCCUUCAAAAAAAUUCAAUAAUGUGGUAUAAAAGAAAUCUAUAAAGAGAAAAAAUAAUUGUUGUCUCCUCAGCAUUUUUUGAAACCUUUUCAGCACUUUGAAGCUUUGUCCAUUAAUUAAUCAGCUUGUUUUAGGCAUGUUCAUAUAGUAACACAAGUCUUUACGUUGUAUAGAACCUUUUGUUCCUUUUUGAACUCCUAUAAUCUUGCGCAAGUUGUGUAUAUAGGGAGAUACAUGCCUAAGCUGCAGGGAUGGUUUUUGUUCACCUGCUUUUUUGUAUAUUGAUUUUGCUUAAGGUAUAAAGAUAUAGAAUUUUAAAAAAAAGAUACAAAAUUGUGGGAUUAGCAAAUUGAUAGCCACAUUUGGAAUAAAAAAGUAGCAAUUAAAAGAAGCAUUUUAUCUUUAAUGAUGAGUAAGCUGUCUUUAGCUUUUUUCUUUUUUAUAUUCUCUCAAUAAUUUCCUACUUUAAAUAGAGAAAAAAAACCACCGUUGACAGGGCAUGAAACACAUGCCACUUUCUUGUUUUUGGUAUAAAGGCUUGAGGGAAUCUUUGUUUAGGUUUUAUAUUUAAAUACACUCUCUCAUUAAGAGGCUAGUAGUUGAUCAUCUUUCUCUUCAUCUACCUAAAUUUCUUUCUUUGUUUGUUUCAGAAAACAAGAUAGAGAUUGUUCUGCUAUGAGGAUAUUCUGUACUUGUUUUUGACAGAAAUUUAGUACCUCCUUAAGUCCUCAACCGUCUUGGUGUUGCAAAAAGGGGGUUGUAGCUAGAAAUUAACAACAAAAAAUAUGCAAGCAAGGCUGUUGAUGUGAAUGAUUUAGCUUAGUUUGGGUUAUACAAGGCACAACAAUUCUUUGAACGUCAAAUACACUUUCCUAUAUUUAAGCUUUUUCUUCAUAAUGUGUAGGAUUGCAGGGCAUUUUAUUCAACUAUAUUUUGGUUAGAUUGUAGGGAAAAAGACAUAAAGGAGAGAAACAUUUUUAGAUAAUGAUUCAAAAUUUAAUUUCAUUAAUAAGUUAAAAAAUUAUAGCAAAUUGUCAAAAAGGUUCAAAAAAAAUUUUUCUGCUCCUUUUAUUCUCUCUUAGCCAGAAGCGAUGUGCAUUCUCGAACUAGUGAGUUGCAAAUAAGUGGCUGCUUUCCUGCAUAUCUUUGAGUUGAAUGACCAUAUACUUAUUUAUUUCGUAUAUUUCGAUAAAUUUAUGUUAAUAUUCAAGUUUUUAAUAUUUAAAUGAAUUUAUAUUUGAUGCAUUAACAAUGUAUAUAAGAUAUAUGUCAGUAUAUCAAAUAUGAAUCCUAUUUAAAUAGAUUAAGAGUACAUAGUUAAGAAUUACAGGGAGUUUAAUUUGAGAUAGUAGCUUUUUGUAUGAAAGAACAAAAAUAAGAUUUUAUUACUUUUUUUAUUUGUUUUUGUUAAUUUUAUUGUGUCAGCUUGAUUUUAUGUCAAUAGACCUAUUAAUUCAUCAUGGUUAGUAAUCAACUGCUUCAAUAACGAUGCUUCCCAAGUUUAAAAGGGAAAAUAGGAGAUUCCAAACUUAAAACCUUCAUGUCCUUGAUGCUUUUCUUAUUUCUCUGUCCCUUUUUAUUUGUUGUUUUAGUUACAAAAUUGUGGAAGUAGAAUCUUGAUUGUUGCAUUUUCAAUAAAAAGUACCAAUUUACAGAAGCAUUUUAUCUUUAAUGAUGAGUAAGUUUUCUUUGGCCUUUUUCCUUUUUUUGAAAGACAAAGAGAAUAGUAUUUCAUAAAAAAAGGUACAUCUUAAUUAAAUUAUUUGAAGGCAAGAAAUUAAGAUUAGCAUCAGUAUUCACUUCCAAAUUCUCACAAUCAUUUCUUUUUUUAAAUAAAAAAAAAUAAUGUUGUUUUUAUCACCCACUCAAUUAAUUAAUCUGAAAUUGUCGUUGUAUUAGUAAAAUGAAUCGUAAUCACAAUAUAUGCGCGAUGUGUUUUCAUUGGGCAAGUAAUUGUUAUAUAACUAAAGCAAAAAUAAAGUAAUUGCUAUAUAGCAUUAUUUUACUUAGAGGGAAAUAUUUAAUUAAAGAAAAAAAAAGUAAUUCCAAACUUAGAACCUUUAUCCUUUUAAAAACCAAUGAAUAGAGUAAUGUUGAUUCUCUAUAAAGUGAUUUGAUUUCAAAAUGCCAAAGGUCCUUGAUGCUUUUCUUCUUUUUUAAACAAAACACUCCCCUUGCUAAACUAAAGUGAGAAUCAAUUAAGUUUGGUACAACUUAUAGAUACAUUUAUGCCACUAGUAAUACUUUGUUUCAGAAUUAUCUUUUCUUUUUAAAAACAAUAAAGAUGAAUUAUAUAUUAAAAAAGAGUAUUCCUUUACAACUUAACAAAAAAGACCCACGACUACAUCAAAGGCAAGCAAUGGGACUUAAAAAUUUGGGUAGACCAGUACUUGCCUAAGGUCCCGCCAACUAGCAUUAAAAAGAAAAUAUUACAAAAGGUAAGAAAACUCACUCUAUACAUAACAAAAGGACCUCCGAAAAAGUGUUCAAUCAAUAUCCCUUAAAAAAAAGGCAGUAUAAACGAAGAAACAUCAGUGGUUCCAUAAAGGUAGCAGCAAGCAUUAUGAUGCACAACAAAAGUCAAUAAAGCAGGGGACAGAAUACCCCACACUAGGUUAAUGUAUAUUCUUCUCCGAGGUUGGCAGAGAGUCAUUGAUCCAAAACAAAUCUGUUGAUCUUGAGACACCUUCUUUGGCUAGGGUGUCAGCUUCUUCAUUAGCAGACCGAAAAAUGUUUUUAAUCACCAACCCAACGUCCUUGGUCAACUUCUUCCACAUACGUUGUCCAAUAAAAAUCACUCAAGUGUCUCGCAUUGCUUGAAAAGGACAAAAAGACUGCCACGUGCUACCUUAUUGGCAAUUGCUACUAGCGUUCUCCACCGCCCGCUUGGUGUCGCCUGUACAGCCAGAACCACAACCACCACCAUUUGCAAUUCUCCUGAGUCUGAAUUCUUAUCACAUUACUACUGUUGGAAAAGUGUUUGACAAACAACUUUCAGCUAGUAAGUUAGACUCACUAUAACCUUUAUUAUCAAAAAUUUUAUACGCAUCGCUUUUGGAUUACAAAGCAUUACAAGGACGAAUUAUAAAGCAUUUUAAUUCUCAUGGUUUUUUUUUUUUUUUUAAAGAGUGAUUUUGGGUUCAACUUUAAGAAAUUGUCUGCCACUUGUUCAUUGUUACAAAACAGGGUCGGAAGAGAAGCAGCUUCAACAUCAUCCACUUGUUCAGUCAACCAAUAAUUAACUGCUGUUUUCAUUAACCAAUUUACAUUUGAGAAACAACAAAAACAAUGGCAAAAGCACUUCUUUCCAUGAUCCUGGAGCAGCAGUUGGGUGGUUCGUUCAUUCCUCAAGAGAUAAAGCAUCAUGUCGGAUUGGCUGUAGGUCUUGAAGAAGAAAUCCAAAAACUCACCAGCAACUUUGACGCCAUUCAAGCUGUGCUUGAAGAUGCGAAAGGAUAAACCAAACAGGGCUUGCCUAACCCAAGGCGCGGAGGAUAAGGCAUACCGAUGUGGAUGCGGCCCAUAUCCCAAGCUGUUUCCCCACAGACCCUCCAACAGUGUCCCAUAACUCUAGUCCUACAUCCACCACGGAAGAAUUACAAGACUCCCAAGGAGCGGAGGACGGCAAUGGAGGCGGCUGGCUCCGAUUCCGAUGGCAGAGAAUUCAAGAACCCACAGGAAAUGUGGAGGGAGCAAAUUGGAGAUGCAGAUGCAGGAGAUAACCAUAAGAAGACUCAGUGGUACCGUGAAGGCGUUGCCUAUUGGGAAGUAAGUCUUUCUUAACUCUGGUUCUUACAUUUGUAUGUGGGUACCAUUACCGAACUCAUAAUAUAGUUAUUGGUUUCUUUGGUUGUGCUAAGAGAAGGGUGUGGAGGCAUCGGUAGAUGGGGUGUUGGGUGGAUUUGGGCAAGUAAAUGAGGCAGAUGUCAAGGGUAGUGAGGUUUUUCUCAAUACCCUUUUGCAUGAAAGAUUCUCGAUGGCGGUGGAAGAAAUCACCAUCUUGUUGCUCUUGGUACUUCUCUGUCUCUCUCUGUGUGCUCAACUUUAUAUUGUUUUUAUGAAGUUAUAUACCCAUAUAUGUUCUGUUGAGGUAGUUUGGUUUAUGUUAUUAUUAUUUUUUUUUUUUACACUAAAAAUCAACCUUAGGUUAUUAUGCGCCAUUAAAUGUGGAAGUGCAAAGUUGGUGAUGGGAUCCUACUUCAUUAGAAUGUAGCAUUGGUGGAAAACCUAAUUAACUAUAAAUUAAACAAAAAACAUAGUGGUGACAGCAGAAAGGGAUGUUGUGAUAGAUGAAAUUUUGAGUUAAAUAUCCGCAAUUAGUGCUUGAAACCGGAAACCAAGAUAACUUGAUAACACAACCAUGAAGAGUUUAUGUCCCAUAAUCCCACCCCAUAAAAGAAAAUAAAUAAAUAAAGAAGAGGAAAGCAUGGAAAUUUGCAUGAAUAUGCAUUUUCUGAAUUAAUUUGCAUGAUAUCUUCACCAAAAAUCAGUCUUAGUAGUGCAAGAAUUAUGUCAUGCAUUAGAGGUGUUGCUUUGAUUUAGAAUGCCAGCGUUAUAGGUGUUGCUCUUAUUUAGAAUGCCAUAAUGCAAUUGAGAAUUGGGUUUACUACAUGCUAUUUUGCUUAAUAAAAAACCAUCUUUAAGCAAUAUUCUUUUUUAAAUUUGGGAAGAAGCUUGCUGGGAGUUCUCUCUGUCUCUUAAGGGUUGUGUGCUUGUGGGGGGUGGGGGAUGGGGCACCCCUGGACCCAAUUUGAGGCCGUUGUGAGUGCUCAGAAUAAAGGAAAGAAAUUUCUGUGUUUAAGAUUGAAAAAUUACUUUCACAUUUCGUCAGCAGCGAAGAUGCUCUAUCUUGCUAAUAUUCUGGAACUUGUUAUCCUUUGAAUGGCAAAAAUUAGAUAUGUCUUCAGUAUGUUUUAUUACUAGGAGAUUGAUUCUUCGACAUGAGUAGGAUCUAUAAUUGCCUAUAUAUGAAGUUGGUCUUAAUACUUGUGAGUUGGUGGACUAUACUGGGGCAACUGACUGAAAUCUUGCGAAGGGGAAUUGUAGGGGAAAUUAUUUAGGAAACUAAGCAGUUGGAGUUUGGCUUUAAUAUAAAGAUAUUUAGAUAACUAAGCAGUAAUGGUUUGGCUUUAAUAUGAAGAUAAUUAAGUGAUUUCCACAAGUUUUAUUUUAAGUAAUAUGAUAUAAGAUGCACUUAAGCACUUGGCUCUAUGAUAGGUGCAUGUAUCCCCUGCUAAAAGAGCUGGGUUUAAAUUACCAUCACCAAAUAAAAUAAAAUAAAACAUGAUAAUUGAUGGUUGUGCCCUCAAACUUUUGCCUUCAUGUGGUUUAUGUUGGUGGAAUCAAAACAAACUCUUUUGAUGAUCUCAGUGCAGAUGAAUCUGGUACAUUUUAGGGCCUAGCAUACUAAAUUAAACUACGUCAUAAUUCUCAAAACACUGCAUUGCUGACCUUUAUUUUAAGUCCAUACAUUUAAGCAGUAGUAAUACCUGCAAAUGGUUCUAAAGCAUACUUGAAAUAUUGCUGGAGUACUGAUCUGUUUGGUAUUUCAUUUUUCUUGAUGUUUUUAAUUCUAAUUGAAAAUCAUAAAUCUAGUUGACAUUCUGAGCUUUUAGUUUCUAUGUUAAUUUAACAUACUGCAGAUUGUGGUUCUAGCAUAGGGAGAAUAACCAAUAAUCUGUUUGGUCAUUUUUCUCUUUCUAUUAGUUUAUUUUCAAUAUUCCUGACAUUUACCAUCUUUUCAAUUAAUUGAUAACAUGGUUCAUAGUGCAUAAUUUUUACUAGCUAAUGAAUUUCUCUGAUGUUUUUGAAUUGAAAGCAAAAUUGGGCGGUGCCUUUUAAAAAAUUCAAGUAGGACAUGAGGAGGGUAUACGUUAAUUUCGAGGUACCUGAACCCUAAGCUUAUAAAAAAUCAAAUACCCAAACCUUAUUAAUUACUUGAAUAAUUUUAAAAAUUACUACUUUAACCUUAACCCUAAUACAUUUUCACUGUUCUAUAAUUAUCCUAAUCUGUUAGAAAACCCCAAUUAGAUAAAAAAAUUAUUAAAAUGUUCUUCAUGAGUACCCAAUUACUCGAACCCAAACCCAUAUCCAUAUACAAUAAUAUUUAUCCUACAUAUUUCAUAUAAUUAACUACUAAUUAAAUUAAUAAAAACACAAAUAAUAAAAUUUAAAUUUAAAUAAUAAAAAAUUAUAAAGUGUGUUUAUAAAUGAACAUAAUAUAUGAUAUAAAUCAAUAUUAUUUUAUUAUUCAGUAAUUAUUAACUUAUAUAAUAGUAAUUAUAUUCUUUAUAAAUAAACAUAAUAUAUAAUAUAAAGUGUAUGUAUUAAAAGACAUUAAAAGUUAUAUACUCUAAAGUGUGUAUAUAUAUAUAUUAUAAUUAAUAAUUUUAUAAGUUAUAAUUUUUGUAAUGUUAACACAAAAUAAAAUGUAAAUAUAUUUAUAUUUAAAGUANNNNNNNNNNNNNNNNNNNNNNNNNNNNNNNNNNNNNNNNNNNNNNNNNNNNNNNNNNNNNNNNNNNNNNNNNNNNNNNNNNNNNNNNNNNNNNNNNNNNNNNNNNNNNNNNNNNNNNNNNNNNNNNNNNNNNNNNNNNNNNNNNNNNNNNNNNNNNNNNNNNNNNNNNNNNNNNNNNNNNNNNNNNNNNNNNNNNNNNNNNNNNNNNNNNNNNNNNNNNNNNNNNNNNNNNNNNNNNNNNNNNNNNNNNNNNNNNAAACAUAUCUCAGAAGUCAGAAAAACAUCACAGCCCCUUCCUUUUCAGCAUCAAAUAGAAAACAGCCCUGCCCCCUCAUCCAAUAAGUACCCAUUCUGUGCAACUCUGGAAGAAGAGCUCAAAUCAUGUGCUCUCAUUCUGCUUUCGUACUCCUGAAAAUACUCACAUGUACAGCAUAUAUUUGUUAAAUCUACAUUGCAUGGUAUAUGUUGUUGUCACCAGUAGAACAGGGAAGAGGCCAUGAAUCCUGCGGAUAAUUGUAUGGAACGUGCAGCGAAGAGGCCAUGGAACAUUAGUCAAUAUUGCAAUUUUGUAGCGUUUUUUCUGAGAUAACCACUCCACAGACUAGGCUCCAACUCAACAAAAGAAAAAAAAUUGCGGAGUCAUAGAUCUCCCAUGUUGGAAUUUUGAUUAGUGAUUUUCUCUUAACCAAUUCAAAACAUGUUAAUUUCUAUAUUUGUUGACCACAUGAGGCUAGGAAAACUUUCACCAAAACGUUCAAGGAAAAAACAGACCAGAAAUGGAAGUUUACCUACUUGAUUGUUCAGAGUGACUCACCUUCCCCAUCAGAAUCAAUUCUCCACCACCAUGAAUUGUCUCUUCCUCCUUCAGACUUUCACUGAUUUCGCAGUUUGCCCCCCUGCUAAGCUGCUGCACUUCGCACUGCUUCCUUGAUUGGGUUGACUAUCGCCAUGCGGAUUAUUAUUUGGACCCUUCUUUUUAAUGGGCUAAAACAUACCAGCUUAAUUCACAUCGGCCAAACCCAACUACAGGAGAGUGGCUGGUGGAUCUCUCCAUGGACCAAGUUAUCAGCAGAAGCCUGCAGGCCUGAUAGGACAGGCGGCCUGGAUAUGAUUUUCUAGGCUCAGGUUCUACAAGGUUUGACCCAAGAAUACUGUUAUUUUUAUUAAUAAAUACUUUAUUUUAUUAUAUUUUAAUUCUAAAAUAUAUUUUCAAAUACUAAUGUAAAAUUAUUUAAUAUAUAUAAUAAUAAAAUAUAUAUAAACGAGUAUUGGAAUUGGGUUUGGGACGGGUACCCACGUAACCUGAAUAUUAACAUAAUCAGGUUCAGGUAGCGGGUACUCAAGAGAUAGUACCUGAAUCCGAUAUGGGUAGUGAAAUCACUAUUCGAACCCGUCUUAAACCCGAUUAUAGAGUAUCAUAGUAUGAGUUGGAGCUAUGAUCUUAAUAAAGCUGCAUAGUACUUUGUGAUAGCUAUGCUUUCUGACCCCUCUUCCGUUUACCAUUCUCCAGGUUGAUCUACUUGAGCCAGUUUCACAUUUCUUAGAUGCUGCCCGUCAAAGUUUGUCUCAGGAAUAUUUUGUAGCCUCUGAUGCGCACAAAGCAAGUAAUUUCUACUGUGUCCCCCUUCAGGUAAUGUAGUUCAAGACUAUAUUCACACAUAGAUACAUGCUUCUUGAUGUGUUGAAGUAUUCAUAACUAUGGUUAAGUCUAUGUAAGCUAUGUAUUUCCAACUUUUCACUUUACCCUUUAUUGCGGAUGUAGCCAUGUAAUUGACACCUCAAGCAGGCAUGUUGUUUGAGUACAAUCCUGGGAAAAACUUACAAAAUUUAAUGUAAACAUGUUAAAUAUGGGUUUGCACCUGGAACUCGCAUUUGAAUCUGGGCAACAUAGUCUGUAUUCUGUAGGCGGCUUUAGUCAUGAAUCAUUAUAGGUAUAGCCUAGAAGAGUUAAUAUGACUGAUAUUAUGGGGAUGGGAUGGGUGGGAAGGAGAUUGGACAUGUGUAGCUUUAGCUUGCAAUGUGAAACUUAGAUGAUUAGACAACCUUUGGAUUCAAGUAAAUUUUUGCAAACAAUUAUUUACUCUUUUGUGUGUGUUGUGGGGGGGGAAGAGGGGAGCAGCAUAUUGGGUAGUGAAUGAGCUCUCUAAGUUGGUGACAUAUGUACUUGUCUUCUUCUGAUGCUUCUGGCUGCUAAAUUUUACUUUAUAAAACAGAAAUUUGACAACCAUAUUUUUUUGUCUUUUUCUUUUUCAGGAGUUCACCCCUGAUGCUGGAAGGUACAAUGUUAUUUGGAUUCAGUGGUGUAUCGGUCAUCUCACAGAUGAUGACUUUGUCUCAUUUUUUAAGAGAGCAAAGGUGAAUAAAUCUUCUUCUUGAGACAGAACUUACUUUUUAUUUGACAUGUUGUGCUGUGUGGAAGUGCAUGGAAAGAUCAAAAUUAUGUAUUGAAAUUUUCUUGCCUGCUGUCUACUAUACAUUCGAAUUGCCUUGUUCUGAUUUUUGAAUUAUGAACUGUCAGAUCAUUGCAAUGGUAUCUCAAAUUUUCCUUUUCCAAAUUUAUUGCUUCUAGCUUUCUCUCUUGUAACUUCUCUUAAACCUUCUUACAGCUAUAGGAAUUAAGGUUGUCUAGAGAACAUAACAUAGCAAACACCAGAAGGAUGAUAUAGUCAAACUCUUUUUUCUUUUUGUCCUUUCUUUUUUUAUUUUAAUUUUUUUUUUUGCAAUGUGUCGUGUUGUUCAUUCUAUUCUUCUUCCUGCUAGGUAAGUAGCGGAUUUGAUGGGUUGGUUUGGAGUGUUUGGGCCCAUCCCUAGCACCACAGAAACAAGGCUUGAUAAUGCUUUACAAUUCAUACAGCUAUUUUGCUAUCAUCCGUUUUCUCACCUUACAAAAGCUUGUGACCAAAUUUUGUUGUGCCUUGUGCAUUGAAAUAAGUUUUAAGAAAUGAUGGUAGUUUGACUUUUGUCCUUUAAGUUUGUAAAUGGUGGGAAAUAAAAUUAAAUCUAGAAAGUGCCAUAUUCAUUUCAUGGCACCUUGAGUCCCUACUCUCCUGCUUCCCUUGCUGCAACCUUUUUUUUUUUCCAGGUGCUGUUGAGCAUAACUUUUUGCUCUGCCUUCAAUGUAUUUUCAUCAAAAUUAAGCAAAACAUAUUAAUAAUAAAAAGCUCCAACAUGGAAAUUCUUGGGCAUGUGUAUGUGUAUGUAGUUUGGAGGCCUGAUCUCUAAGUUGUGUCCUGGAAAGACCCUUGUUGAAAUUUAUUAUUCUUGCAUAUAUGAUUUAAAAGAUUAUAAUUUGCACUUUAAUUUGAUACAGUAAUUAAUUUGUUGAUUCCAGGUAGGCCUUAAACCUGGUGGAUUCUUUGUCCUGAAAGAGAACAUUGCUAGAAACGGUAUUGUCUUUAUGACUCUUUGAUUUUUCUAAGCAUGUUUGUUUGCCCUCCCUCCCUCUCUCCCUCCCCUUUUUAAGAAGUGCUCAAGUUUUGUUUAAUGCAUUCCUCAAACUUUCUUAUGUUUUGGUAUUCUGUGGUAAAUUUUCAUAAAGUUGUGUUUUUCUUUUUUGAAAUGCCGCAUGUCAUCUCACGUAUGAGAAGGCAUAAAGUUGCUUUUUUGAGCUGAUAUUACUUUCUAACUUUGUCUUAUUAUGUAAUUAUCUGGCCCCUCUACAACUUUGAAGUAACAUCAUAGUUAAUAAUAAUUAAAAGAUAAAUGGAUAAAGGAAAUUUUAAGCUCCAUUUUCUCGUUCCAUUGCUUGAUACCAAGGGAAGCAGCAAGUUUUUGUUUUAUGCAUUCCUCAAACUUUCUUAUUUUUUGGUGUCCUGCUGUAAAAUUUUCAUAAAGUUGCUUUCUAGAGCUGAUAUUACUGUUUAAAUUUGUUUUAUUAUGUAUUCAUCUGCCCGCUACUGCUUUGACUUAUUCUAGUUAAUGUUUUAAAUGUUGAAUUAAGGAUAAACGGAUAAAGGAAUAUUUAAGCUCCAUUGUCUUGUUUCAUUGCAUGAUACCAAGGGAAACAGCAAAAAAGUGUUGAAACUUAUAAUUCGCAGGUUCAGGGAUGAGUCUCAUCUGCUCAAAUGGGUAUGGGGUAUAAUUUUACUAUGCUACCAAUUUGGGACACCUUUUGGUAACACUGUCUAUGUACAACUUUCUUCAGUGAAAAUUCAUGAAGGAAAGAUGACCUAGUGAUGUAGUGAGGAAGUAGAAACAAUAACAAGAAACCAAAACAGUGAACAAAACCAGAACAAAGGUUAAAAUUGAUGUAAAAUCAAAGUCGGAACAAGUUACAAGCCAUUAGGACCAAUUGUCGAGCAUCUUAAGGUUAAAUAAACAAGUCACUCCCAUCUGUAAUAGAUUGAUUCAAACCAGCUAGAUAACAAGAAGUCAACUGCUCAUUAGUCUCUUUGAAACCAACACUAGGGAAAGGUUGUUGAAACCUGAAGUGUACUCCUCAAUGGACAUACUAUUUUGCUUGAGUGAAUGAAAUAUCUCAUUCAACUCCAUUUAAUCAGCUGGCAGAAAUUUCCUCAUCUUCAUUUUCAUGUGUUCCCAAGUGUUGAUUUUUGGCUUGCCUUGAUGUGCUUGCCGCUCUUCAACGCUCUUCCACCAUUGAAGUGCAGUCCCUUCAACUUAAGCUUCACAAACAGCACCUUUCUUUGUUCUACCAUUGGUUUCUACUAAAAAUAAUUUUACAAACUCGCUUUCUGGUCUAAAUAAUCUUUUGCAUGCAUCUUUUUCCGGAAGUCAUCUACCUUAAUUCUAACUCCACCACCAUUUAAGUCUAGGCAUGUAACAAUCAGCCUUCCAAUCUACCACAAACAGCAUUAUUUGCUGCUCGAGCAUUAUGAAAAGGGUUUUCAGCCUCUCCAUAUUCAAUUUCAUCCUCAAGACCACCUUCCGGUAAACCGAAAGGGUCAGGAUUGCCUUGCGGAUUCUCCAUUCGGGCUCCCAUUGGUUCCUGUCACUUUAAAGCUUGCUCAGCCUGCAACAAAUCUUCAAUCAUACCCUUAAACUCAGCCGAUUCUGUUUGCUGGUCUUGAUUUCUUUUCCACGUCCACUAACAAGUCCUCUAACACGAUUAGCCAUGGUUUAUAAGCUAAAAUCCUAGUUCAACUUUAAGAUCUGUUCAUCUGAUACCUCUUUGAUGUAGCAUGGAAGUAGAAACAACAAAAACAAAAGAAAAACAAUGAAGAAAACCAGAACAAAGGCUAAAAUUGAUCUUAAGAUCAAAGUAGGAACAAGUUACAGCAGCUUUUAAUUGUAGCCCUUCGAUACAAACAAGCCCAUCUAAUCCUAGCCAUUCAAACUAAUUAAAAAUGAUCACAUGCUGAUCACGACACAUGACUAGAUAGAAAACAUAAUUACAAACUUUUAACUAAAGUAAAACAUAAUAAGAUAACCAAUUGGAGAUAAAUUUAAGAAUGCUCUUGCAUAACCUAGCCCAACAAUUAAACUUGCCUAAGGCUUGACUUAAACUAGGACUCAAGUCUCAUAAUUUGCUUGCAUUCAACUCACAAAAUGCUUGGAUUCAAUCAGUUUAUUGUUGAGUUAUUCUUGAGCUCAAGUGACCAAUCGAGUCUAGUUCAAGUGUUUAUAUUACUCAGUCAAGAUGGUUCAAGAGCGUAAUCAACUUUUAAUUUUUUAAUAUAUUUUAAUAUUCCAUGUAUGUAAUACUCGUAUAACACUGAAAAAUAUAAAGCUCUAUCAAGUCCAGCUUGGAGGUCUCAGACAUAUGUACCCUCCAAAAAAUUGUUCAAGUUGAGCUUCAGGUCUUAGUUUUGUAAUUGAGUCGUGUCAAGUUCAAGGUUGUCAUUUUGUCAACUUGAUUUGGCUCAGUUAUGCACCUAGACUUUAACCAGCUCAAACUGACUAAAAGGUUACUGAAUUGAAAGUUGAGACAGGGACAAUUCAAACACAAAGUAAUCUGGAAUUCCAAAAAUCCAAACUUAACACCUAAAAACCUUUAAAUGACAAGUGGGUAGUUAUACCCCUUUCGCAGUAAUUGCAUAAAUUCACUUAACUUGGCUUGCAUGUGGAGAACUUGUCAGUGGAAUUGUUCAGUGGCAAAAUGAGUUUCACUGAGCUAUCACUUGUUUGCAGGAUUUGUCUUGGAUAAAGAAGAUUGAAGCAUCACCAGAUCUGACUUAUACUUCAAGGCCCUAUUUCGUCGAUGUGGAUUGCACCUGUAUAAAAUAAAGGUACCUUCUAUUGCAUAUUGACCACUUAAUAAGCUGUUGAUAACGCUUUUUUAAACUGAAUAUUCUGUUAGUUUACUCGUAAAUGCUUUUGACAGUUGUUGUUUCAUGAGGCCUAAUCCUAACUAUAUUUUGACUUUGAAAGAAUAUACAAUACAUAAAGCUACACAGGUCUGCUGUGGUAUCUUAAAUGGUGCUCAAAGUUCUUAAUCAGCCCCAACUUCCAUUGUUUUGAUUCUGAAAAGCAAAACCCCCCUCACUGGCUAAAAUAAAGUGGGAAUCAAUUCAGUAUGGUACAAUUUAUAGAUAUGGUACAUUUAUGGCACCGAUGAUACUUUGCUGCAGAGUUACCUAUAUCAUGUAUUCUUUUAUCUUCCCUAUUAUCAAUCACUUUUACAGAGAAAUUAUGGUCUUGAAGUCAAAACUGGAUACUUUAAUAAUUAAAGUUAUAAUCAACCUCAAAAUUGUGUGCUGGGUUAUGGCGGUAAAGGGGUCAACUUGAUGUAAGUUACGCAACUUGGACUCACACCAUAAAACUCAACCAAAUUCCAACAAAGAUUAGUUGCCAACCCAUCCAGUUGUGUCUGUUACACAUAACCUUUGACUUGCAACAUAACAAUCCCAAGAUGACACAUUGAAAACUGAUAAGUUUAUAUAGAUCAUGCACUAAUAGCCUCAUAUGUUGCCAUUGUCUUAACAACUAAGUCUCUAAGCCAACAUUCAAAAAUUUAGAUCUUGAAACGUUAAAAUACAAGGUCUAGCUAAAAAUCCAAUGAUAGGUGCGGGCUUUAUAGGAUGAGAGAGGGCUUCUCCUAUUGUGAAGCCCUCGUUCCAUUGACUUUCAGAUGUGCCCCAAGAGCAUAACAUUAGUGAGAGGCGUUGUGUGAUCUAUGUUGUUUGGUAAGUUUUAGAUAUCAUAUCAUCUUUUGUAUCCUUAUAUUCUUAUUUGAUGUUGCUGAGUUGAAUCGAUAAGGGUGUGAUUUCUAGUUGCAUGUUCAAAGUUUCCAUUAGAAAUAGGGGCAGGUUUGGUUUGCAAUCCCCCUACUUCAUUUUAGGGUUUUCAACUAUCAUAAUGUAUCCUUCCUUUUGUUAUUUAUUUGUUUGUUGUUUUGAAAACAGGACCAGAAAGGACUCCCUGAGGAAUUGUUUGCUGUAAAGAUGUAUGCUUUAACAACUGAAGGGCCAAAGAAGGUUCUCAAGACAAGAUCCAAGGCGCAAGCCAACAGACCUGACAUCAUCAAAUGAUUUGUUGCCUCUACCUUGUUGCAUUGUUGUAGGAGUACUCAAACUUUCUGGUGUAGGAUGUGAUUGUAUCUUCUUCCUAUGUAAUUUGUUAGCGUAUUACCUCAAAUUGUUUUUACUUUACAAGCUCCUUGUGGACUAGUUUUGUUCUUUUUCGUUUGAAGCUGUAUAUUUAUCCCCGGCAUACCUUUGAAGCUGUAUAUGUUCCUAAAUUCAAUUAUUGCUUCCAUAUUUUAAUUUUAUCUUUAAUUUUUUUUUUUUACCUUUCAAACAAAAAUGAAGAGUAAAUUUUACUAUUCCUUUUUACCAAUUCUUUAAUCCUUAGUCUAAUGAUACUUUAGAUGGAUACUUUUGCUCCUAUUCGCAAGACCAGCCCUCACCCUUUUUGUAGUGUUAUUUUCCAAACGGUGCCGUUUGGCACUUUGCUCCUUACAACCCUAACUAUAAAUUCCUCCUUUUCUCUCUCUCUCUCCUUCAUUUUUCCCCUUACUUUCUCUCUCUACCGCCGGCGGCUCUCUCUCAUUUCUCUCUGAACCUUCAGCUCACUUUCUUCUCUCUUUCUCUUUCGCUUGGAAGUAAUGAGAAUCUCCCAAUCCCAAAAGAGGAAAUCAACUUUCUCUCCCGCACACUGCCAGAACCUUCCUUUCGCUCUCACAAAUCAGUCCCCAACCGAACCCAUUUCCUAGAUCUACGUCUUUGUAAACAUUGGAUUUUUGUUUUGAUGCUUUUUGCUUUUCUUUUUUUUUGCCUUUUGCCAUUUUGGUUGUGGUAUCCGGCUGCUAGAUUAAAAAGUUAGAAGUUUUUGGCUUCUAGGUGUUUGCUCUUUUCUGGAGAUUUUUGUUGAAAGAGCCCCUCCUUUUGUGAAGAUUUCUGCUUUUAUAUAUAUAGGGGCCGAAAAUUCUCUCCUUAGUACUCGGUUAGCCAUUGAUUUAUCCUAAUUUUUAUUGAAUAAAAAUGAAAAUGAAAAAUAGAAUAAUAAGGUAAUAAAAAUAGUAAUAAAAGUACAUAAAAAAAUAGUAUCUACAGCUUGAGGGAAUCUAUGUUUAGUUUUUUAAUAUGUAAACACCCUUUUCCAUGGAAAGGUUAAAUUUUUUUUUCUUUGUUUGAGAUGGAUAUCAAACCCUUUCUUCAUGAACACCACUUGCUCUUUGAUGACUACAUUGAAUCAGAGGCACCUUGUAAUAUAUGCAAUCAGAAAAUUGAUGGUUUGGCUUAUUAUUGUGAAAGAUGCAAGAUUUGGUUUCAUAAUCCCUGCGUUCAUCAUCAGCUACCUCUGCAGAUAAGUGCACAUCCUUUCCAUUCUCAACACAAUCUUAGUCUCUUAUGGUCAAAUCACAUAGAUUACAUAUGUGCUAAAUGUUUCAAUCUUUCUCGAGGUCAUAGGUACCAUUGCAAAGAUUGUGAUUUUAGCCUUGAGUUUCAAUGUGCUUUUUCAAUCAAUGAUGAGAAAAAUAGACUCAGUGACGAGACAUCCAAAAAAAUUGGUCGUUUCAACAAGUCGUUGACCCUCUUUAACUAUAGGAGAGUGAGAAAGUAUGAGUAUAUAUGUAGUUGGUGUGAGAAUCAUUUGUCUGGAAUGUCUUAUGGUUGUCUUGACGAUGGAGUUUAUAUCUGGUUCCACGAUUCGUGCCUAAUCAACAUGCCUAGCAUAAUCUUCAAACACCCUUUUCAUCCAUCACACCCUCUUUCAUUAUGCAACAUUCAUUUCGAUAAUAGAUUGUGCAAUGCUUGUAACCUACCAAUAUGGGAGUUCAGAAAAGCCUUUUGCUGUAGAAAAUGUAAAUUCCACCUUCAUGUUCAUUGUGCUGAACUACGACCCAGUCUGAAGGUUGAGUUACAUGAGCAUAAUCUUACUUAUUUUCGAAUAAAAGCUAAUAUCUCUACCCACCUAUGUAGGAUUUGUGGUUUUAAUUUUGAUGCUAUAGGGAACGAAAGUGCUUUUUAUCGUUGUGUUGAGUGUAAUUUCAAUUACCAUUUCAAAUGUCUUACAAUACCACAUUCUACUUCACACAAGUAUCAUAGGCAUGAUCUCAUGCUUAUGGAUUCAUUUAUAGAAGAUGUUUCUGAAGAAUAUUAUUGUGAUAUAUGUGAAGAAAAAAGAAAACCCAAGCAUAGUGUUUAUUGUUGCAAGAAAUGCAAAUUUGUUGCUCACAUCGAAUGUGUACUCAAUAAGGUAAAGAGAAAUUUACUCUCUCUCUAAACAAAUUUAAUAAAUGAUUUUUUUAUUAGAUAAUCUAUUAAUUAUUUGAUCAUAGGUCACAUAUACUGUGCCAUUUAGAAAAAUUUUGAUGUUAAAUAGUUUCACUUCCCCAGGUUAUAGAUAUAAAACUUGAUCAAAGUGUGACCUCUAGUUUGUUGGAUGGCGAAGCUUCAACAUUGAAGGUGGUGUAUGUUGAUAUUAUUGUGAUGCUUUCACUUGCCAAUAAUUUUUUUUUGAAGGUUACAUCACUUUAGGUCUUUUAUAAUUCCUUGGAUUUAUAUAUUAUAAAGAUUUUUUAGUAAUAAACACUAUUUACGUUUUUGAAUAAAAUUUAAUGAAAAAAAAACUAAAAAAUGUAAAUAACAUAGGUAAGAAACCUCUACUUAUAUAGCAGUAUUCAAAAUCAAUUUGAAGAAGGCUUUAGUAAAAAUAUUGAAUGUUGAAUAAAAUAAAAACAUAUACGUGCAUCAUGUUAAUUUAUGAACAUAUAUAUUUGAUUAUUUAAUUAUUACUUCCAUAUUUUAGUUUUAUUUUAAAUUUUCAUUUUUUUUACUUUUCAAACAAAAAUAAAGAGUAAAUUUUACUAUUAAUUUUGACCUAUUUGUAAUUUUUCGUUUUCAUUUGCCAUUUUGAAUUUGUUUCAAAUCCAUCUGUAUAUUAACAUGCCAAUAAAAUGGAAGUGAAAUUUGUCACGUAAAUUCCACAUAUUAUGUGAAUUAUGUGAAAGUAGUCACAUGGACAUAACUGUAGUGUUUAGAUGGCAAAUUCGUUCCAUAUUUAAUAGUGUAUUGAUGGAUAGAUGAAUUUAAAAUAAAUUCCAAAAGAUGUAGAUGAAAAAAAUCGAGUUUGUUUAGUCAUAAAUGAAAAUAAAAUAUUAUGACAAUUUACAAAUUAAGGAUGCACUCUGCUUAACAAAUGGUGGAAGAUUAGUAACUUUCUUCACUCAACCUGGUUGUGCAGCCGCAGAUUGAACAUUUUGAUCAUCAACAUCCCUUGAGCUAUAAUGGGGCAAUUGAACGGAAUGAAAGUCUUCUCUGCAAUGCUUGCUGUCAAGAAAUUUUUGAUCAACACUAUGCUUGUGGAGAUUGUAAAUACUACUUACAUGAAACGUGCACUGCAUUGCCGUUUGAGGUGUCACACCCUUUUCAUUGCCAGCAUCCUCUCAAGCUCUUCACAGAUAUAGUUGAAUUUACAUGUCAUGCAUGUAGGGAACAUUCUAGUGGGUUUGCUUACAUGUGCCUUCCAUGUGAUUUCCAACUUGAUGUAAACUGUGCUACCACUCCAAUCCCACAAAAAAAUGAGGGGCAAAAGCUGAAAGAGAUGGAGAAAGUUUCCAAGUUGUGCCCUUUCAAUCAAAAUCAUAAGCUAGAUUUCUUCAAUCGUAGAUCCAGUCUCAAAGAUUUGGCUUUGGAAUGCGAUGCUUGCAAGCUACCAAUCUUGGGUCCAGGUUAUACAUGUCGUGAUUGUUUCAAUAUCAAAAUUCAUGAAUCUUGUCUUGCAUUUAUGCGGGAGAUGCAGCUCAACUUUCAUCCAUUACACCCCCUUCAUCCACAAAUCGGCGAUUGGGAAAAUUGUUUUGCCUGUAGAUUUAAAAUCAUUGAAAGUAUCGGUUAUAGUUGUCGACAGUGUGAUUUCCACCUUCAUCUUCAUUGUGCUAAUUCCCUGAAGCUGGCCUUAAAAAUUAAGUCUCACAUGCAUAAUCUCUAUUAUUUUGGGCCAGAUUAUGAGAAAUCUUACCAAUUAUGUAACAAAUGCAAAAGUUACAUUGGUAAGGAACCUUUCUAUUAUUGCGUGGAGUGCAAUAUGAAUUUGCACUUAAAAUGUGUUCCCAUACCAUGUUCAGUUAAAUCCAAAUAUCACAUGCAUCGUUUGACUCUUAAAAAUCAUUUUGUGGAAGAUGAUUCUGGAGAAUACUAUUGCGACAUUUGCGAAGAAGAAAGGAACUCAAAAAAUCAUUGCUAUUAUUGUGAAGAGUGUGUUGGACAAUUUGUUGCUCACAUCGAAUGCGUGCUUCUUACAGUAAGUUUAUCACUAUCAUUUUCUUUGUAGAAUUUUUUUAUACCAUGUUAUUGAAUUUUUUAAAGGAAAAUAAGAAUCUAAAUUACACAUCACAUGAUUGUAUCCACCACCUCUUUGAUUAAUUGGACUUUAUUAAUGGUUAAAGUACCUCAUAGGUCCAUAUACUAUAGAUUUUUCGUUAAUUUAAUCUCUUUACUCAAAACUGGUUAAUUUAUUCUCUAUAUUUUGAGAUAUUAUGUAAUUGACUCAUUUUGCUUAACUCCAUUCAAAUUAACCAUUAGUGGUGCUGGUGUCGCAUUGACAUGCAAGAUAAAAGAAAAAAAAAGAAAUUGGCCAUGUGGCAUUUGUUUCUUUCCUCAUUUGUUCAAAACUACAUUGUUUUAGAGUACCAUUUAAAGCACAUUUAGGUUUUAUUUUUCAUUUUCCUUCUUUCCUUCUUUCUAGCUCUCUUAUCUCUCUAGAUUCCGACACCUAAAUGAAAAUUUUGGCUAUCGUUCAUUAAUGGUAUGAAAAUCUAAUAAAAAAUAAAAAAAUUCAUUUUUUUUGGCCUUAUUUCCCAAAAUUAGGAUAGCUUUUUCAAAAUCUAUCUUGAUUUUCCUAGAUCUAAAAUAAUGAAACUGUAAAAAAGAAAUUUGUUUCUUUCCACUAAUGUGUCCUCAACUUGAUGUUAAUGAUCAAGGGUUGUGUUUUUCAUGUUGUAGGAUUUUGAAUUUGCAGAUGGAAAUUUUCAUGAAUUUUCCAACUUGAAAGAUGCUGACUCACCUAUUGAGAGUUCCUCUAUGGAUAAGUUGCUUUCCCAGCCCCAUGCUGAAGUUUACUUGAAUCAAAACAGAAUGGUAGUUAAGUCCUAUAUAAGUUUAUUUUAAAGAUCUCAUCUUAAUGCGAAAAUGAAUUUUAUUUUAUGAAUAGUUGAAUGGAAGAAAAGUUUCACGAUUUUGUGGGUGCCAUUGUUGUUGCAGAAGUACUGGGUGGAUAAGAAGUUAAGCAAAUACUGCUUCAUGUUGUUUGCAAGAGAUCUUUCAAUCUGUUGGGCGGAAAACCACCUUUACUGGCGCUGGUCAUACCAAAGAGAAACAAACAGGUUAGCAUAGAUUUAUUAUUCAUUUAGAAUCCUUCAUAGUUCUAGCUCGAGAGCUUUCCUAAUCCAUAAACUUUUGAUUUUGCAGUGAUGUGUUGAUUGAUGUUGUCGAACUUCUAGAUGUGUGGUGGCUAGAAAUGCAUGUGAAAUUCAAUGUAAAAAAACUCUCACCAAAAACAUUGUAUGGACUUGUGUUCGUGCUUAUGUUGGCAAAAGAAGCAUGUGGAUGGGAACACCCAGUGAACGUCGGAUUCACUCUUCCAAAUGGGUACAAGGUUGAAUGCAAGGAAAUUUUGAUGACCAAGCCAACAGGAGUGUGGAUAGAAAUCCCUGUCGGAGAAUUUACAACUUCAUUUGAAAUUGCUGGAGAAUUAGAUAUUUACUGUCACCAAUAUGAUGAAUUGAUAAGGAAGAGAGGACUUAUUGUUAAAGGAGUUGCUAUUCUACCAAAGAAUUAAGUUAUAAGUUAGUAUUUUGUCAUAGUAAAUAUGAAAGUAUUAUAGUUUUUUUAUUUGUUCAUAAUCCUGCAAAUACCAAAAUGACCUUAACACUGGAACCAGUUUUUCGGUUCUCAUUAUACAAUAUAGGUUCCAUGCUAAAUGCAGCAAACAAGCCCGUUGAUUGGGUUUUUUGUAUUUUUUAUUAGAUUUUUGGACCACUACUGAUCAGCGGUCAGUGAUCGAAAUCUGGGUUUGGCGAUCAAAAUUUGGGAUGGAAGGAUUGGAUAGAAAGUGAGAGAGAGAAGAGUGUUAGAGAGAGAAGGAAGGAAAAUGAAAAAAAAAAAAACUAAAUGUGCUUUAAAUAGUAAGCUUAAAACGACGUAGUUUGAGACAAAAAAGAGAAGAGAGAAAAAUAAAAGCGACAUGAUCAAUUUUUUUUAUUAGUUUAACACGCCACUUCUACGUUAGCACUUUUUGAUAUGUCAGUGCGACGUUAAUACCACUAAUGGUUAAUUUGAAUGGAGUUGAGCAAAGAGAUUCAAUGGUACAAAAUAUGAGAGUACAAGGACUAAAUUAACUAGUUUUGGAUAGUUGGACUAAAUUGACAAAAAAAUCUUUAGUAUAAGGACCUAUGAGGUACUUUGACCAUUAAUAAAUUCUAAUCAACAAAAGAUGUGGUGGAUUUGAUCAUGUGAUGUGUAUGUGUAAUUUAGAUUCUUAUUUUCUUUUAAAGAAAUUCAAUAAUGUGGUAUAAAAAAUUUCUACAAAGAUAGAAAAAUAUUGUUAGCACCUCAACAUUUUUUAAAACCUUUUCAGCACUUUAAAGCUUUGUCCAUUAAUUAAUCAGCUUGUUUUAGGCAUGUUCUCAUAGUAACACAAGUCUUUACGCUGUAUAGAACCUUUUGUUUCUUUUUAACCUCCUGCAAUCUUGAGCAAGGCUGGUUGUGUAUACAGGGGAGCAUAGUGGUAUAUCCCAGCACAGUUGUGUAUAUAGGGAGAUGUAUGCCUAAGCUGUAGGGAUGGUUUUUGUUCACCUACUCUUUUGUAUAUUGAUUUUGCUUAAAGUAUAAAGGUAUAGAAUUUUUAAAAAAAGAUACAAAAUUGUGGCUUAGCAUCUUGAUAGCCACAUUUGGAAUAAAAAGGUAGCAAUUAAAAAAAGUAUUUUAUCUUUAAUGAUGAGUAAGCUUUCUUUGGCCUUUUUCAUUUUAUAUUCUCUCAAUAAUUUCCUUCUUUAAAUAGAGAAAAAAAAUGUUGACAGGGCAUGAAGCACAUGCUAUUUUCUUGUUUUUGGUAUAAAGGCUUGAGGGAAUCUUUGUUUAGGUUUUACAUUUAAACGCCCUCUCUCAUCAAGAGGCUAGUAGUUGAUCAUCUCUCUCUCUCUCUUCAUCUACCUAAAUUUAUUUCUUCGUUUGUUUGAGAAAACAAGGCAGAGAUUGUUCUGCUAUGGGCAUAUUCUAUACUUGUUUUUGACAGAAAUUUAGUACCUCCUCAAGUCCUUAACCAUCUUGGUGCUGCAAAGAGGGGGUUGUAGCUAGAAAUUAACAACAUAAAAGAUGAAAGCAAGGUUGUUGAUGUGAAUGAUUUAGCUUGGUUUGGGUUAUACAAGGCGCAACAAUUCUUUGAACGUCAAAUACACUUUCCUAUAUUUAAGCUUAUUCUUCAUAAUGUGUAGCACUGCAGGGCAUUUUAUUCAACUAUAUUUUGGUUAGAUUGUAGGGGAAAGAAAGGUAGAGAAAAAGACACAAAGGCGAGAAACAUUUUUAGACAAUGAUUCAAAAUUUAAUUUCAUUAAUAAGUUAAAAAAUUACAGCAAACUGUAAAAAAGAUCAAAAAUUUUUUUGUCUGCUCCUUUUAUUCUCUAUUGGCCAGAAGAGAUGUGCAUUCUUGAACUAGUGAUUUGCAAAUAAGUGACUGCUUUUCCUACAUACCUUUGAGUUGAAUGACCAUGUACUUAUCCAUUCUGUAUAUUUCAACAAAUUUAUGUUAAUAUUCAAGUUUCUAAUAUUUGAAUGAGUUUAUAUUUGAUGCAUUAACAGUGUCUAUAAGAUACAUUGUCAGUGUAUUAAAUAUAAAUCUUAUUUAAAUAAAUUAAGAGUACAUAGUUAAGAAUUACAGGGAGUUUAAUUUGAGAUAGUAGCUUUUUGUAUGUAAGAAGAAAAAGAAGAUUUUGCUGCUUUUUAUUAUUUGUUUUUGUUAAUUUUAUUGUGUCAGCUUGGUUUUAUGUCAACAGCCCUAUCAAUUCAUCAUGGUUAGUGAUCAACAGCUUCAAUAACGAUGCUUCCCAAGUUUAAAAGGGAAAAUAGGAGAUUCCAAACUUAAAACCUUCAUGUCCUUGAGGCUUUUCUUGUUUCUCUGUCCUUUUCUAUUUGCUGUUUUAGUUGCAAAAUUGUGGAAGUAGCAUCUUGAUUGCCACAUUUUUCAUAAAAAAGUACCAAUUUAAAGAAACAUUUUAUCUUUAAUGAUAAGUAAGUUUUCUUUGACCUUUUUCUUUUUCUCAAAAGACAAAGAGAAUAGUAUUCCAUAAAAAAGGAUAUGUGUUAAUUAAAUUAUUUGAAGGCAAGAAAUUAAGAUUAGUAUCAGUAUUCGUUUCCAAAUUCUCACAAUUAUUUCGUUCUUUAAAUAAAGAAAAAAAUAAUAUUAUUUUUGAUCACUCACUUGAUUAAUUAAUUUGAAUUGUCAUUGCAUUAGUACAAUGAAUCGUAAUCACAAUAUACGCGCGACUUGUUUUCAUUGUGCAAGUAAUUAUUGUAUAACUAAAGCAAAAAGAAAGUAAUUGCUAUAUAACAUUAUUUUACCUAAAGGGAAAUAUUUAAUUAAAGAAAAAAUAAGUAAUCCCAAACUUAAAACCUUUAUCCUCUUAAAAACCAAUUAAUAGAGUAAUGCUGAUUCUCUAUAAAGUGAUUUGAUUUCAAAAUGCCAAAGGUCCUUGAUGCUUUUCUUCUUGUUUAAACGAAACACUCCCCUUGCUAAACUAAAGUGAGAAUCAAUUAAGUAUGGUACAACUUAUAGAUACAUUUAUGCCACCAGUAAUACUUUGUUUCAGAAUUAUCUUUCCUUUUUAGAAACAAUAAAGAUGAAUUAUAUAUUAAAAAAGAGAAGGAUAAGAGUAUUCCUUUACAACCAGUCAAAAAAAAACCCACGACUACAUCAAAAACAGCCAAUGGGGCUUAAAAAUUUGGGUAGACCAGUACUUACCUUAGGUCCUGCCAAGUAGUAUUAAAAAGAAAAUAUUACAAAAGGUAAGAAAACCAUAACAAAAGGACCUGUACAUAAUCUUUUCCUAGAAGAAGGAUCCAAAAAAGGGUUCAAUCAAUAUCCCUUAAAAAAAAAGCAGUAUAAACGAAGAAACAUCAAUGGUUCCCAUGAAGUUAGCAGCGAGCAUUGUGAUGCACAACAAAAGUAAAUAAAGCAGGGGACAGAACACGUCACACUAGGUUAAUAUUCUUCUCCGGGGCUGGCAUGGAGUCGUUGAUCCGAAGCAAAUCUGUUGAUCUUGAGACACCUUCUUUGGCUAGCUUGUCAACUUCUUCAUUAGCAGAACCAAAAAUGUGUUUCAUCUCCCAUCUUCCAAUCUUACGAAGAGUAUUAAAUGUUUGAAUUAUCAGAGUCUUCGCUCUCCAUAUCUUCUUUUUGUCUUUCUUAAUAUUAAUCACUUUUACAAAGAAUUUAAUUUUAAUUUUACAUUUGAAUUGUUGCGCUAGGGUAUGGCCGUAGAGGGGUCAACUUGAUGUAAGUUAAGCAACUUGGAUUUACAGCAUAGAACUCAACUAAAUUCCAACAAAGAUUAGUUCCUAGCCCGUACAGAAAAUUUGUAUAUGUUACUUGACUGAUUUACAUUGAAGAAGUAAAUUUGCAUAUCACCCACAUUAUAAACUAAUCAAUUACUGAAAAUAAGAAAUUACCACUAGUGCUUGCUAAAUCUCAUAAAUAAAUCAUCUUAAUAAGCAAUAACUAUGUAUGGGAGGGCUAAUUAUUGUAGUUAACAUUCCUUGAAUUUUACCUCAAAAUUUGUGUUAAUAUUCUAGGUUGUGAUCAAGUCAAAUAUUCAAGUUUCUAACAUUUAAAUAGAUUAGGAGUACUUCAUGAAUGAAGGGGUUUAAUUUGAAGUAAUAGCUUCAAGUAUAGAAGAAAAAAAACAAAGAUUAUGCUGCUUAUUUUUUUUUAUAUUUUCUUGUCUUAGGUUGAUUUUAUGUCAACACUCCUAUCCACUAUUCGGUAAUUUUGGACGUGUGUAUUUCUGUAGCAAUGUUUAUGAAAUGGUUUGGACAGCAUUGAUAGCUGUGGAUCAUGAGACAUAUAUACACUUUGGACAGCUAUUUAUUGAGACGUGCUGGAAGGUGAUUUAAUUAUUUCUGUUGAUUGGGUUAUGUUUUCAGAGAUUGGGCGGAUUUGUUAAAGAGUCCAACUGGACCUAUUUAUCCCCAAAGUUGAGUUUAAUUUUGGCAUUUGGCAUGUGGCAUUGCCAAAGCUCCUCAAGGAAGAGCACUAUGCGAUGAGUGAAGGCCAAAUAAAUAAGAAGAAAAAAGAAAGAAAGAUAGUACACAUCUUGUCAUCACUCAUCAAUUAGACAUUCCAUCCCUCACCAACCCAACGUCCUUGGACAACUUCUUCCACAUAUGUUGUCCAAUAAAAAUCACUCCAGUGUCUCGCAUUGCUUGAAAAGAAAAAAAAAGACUCCCACGUCCUACCGUAUUGGCGAUUGCUACUAUCGUUCUCCACCGCCCGCUUGGUGGCGCCUAUACAGCCACCACCACCACCACCACCAUUUGCAAUUCUCCUGAUUCAGAAUUCUUAUUGCAUUACUACUGUUGGAAAAGUGUUUGAUAAACAACUUUCAGCUGGUAAGUUAGCUUCACUAUAACCUUUAUUAUCAAAAAUUUUUUACGCAUUGCCUUUGGAUUACAAAGCAUCCUGGUCAAAUUGUUUCCGUAGUGACGUAGAAGUUGUCAUUCAAGAAAAAUUACAAGGACGAAUUAUAAAGCAUUUUAAUUCUCAUGGUUUUUUUCUUUAAAGAUUGAUUUUGGGUUCAACUUUAAGAAAUUGUCUUCCACUUGUUCAUUGUUAAAAAACAGGGUCGGAAGAGAAGCAGCUUCAACAUCAUCCACUUGUUCAGUCAACCAAUAAUUAACUGCUGUUUUCAUUAAUCAAUUUACAUUCGAGAAACAACAAAAACAAUGGCAAAAGCACUUCUUUCCAUGAUCCUGGAGCAGCAGUUGGGUGGUUCGUUCAUUCCUCAAGGGAUAAAGCAUCAUGUCGGAUUGGCUGUAGGUCUUGAAGAAGAAAUCCAAAAACUCACCAGCAACUUUGAGGCCAUUAAAGCUGCGCUUGAAGAUGCGAAAGGAUAAACCAAACAGGGCUUGCCUAACCCAAGGCGCGGAGGAUAAGGCAUACCGAUGUGGAUGCGGCCCAUAUCCCAAGCUGUUUCCCCACAGACCCUCCAACAGUGUCCCAUAACUCUAAUCCUACAUCCACCACGGAAGAAUUACAAGACUCCCAAGGAGCGGAGGACGGCAAUGGAGGCAGCUGGCUCCGAUUCCGAUGGCAGAGAAUUCAAGAACCCACAGGAAAUGUGGAGGAAGCAAAUUGGAGAUGCAGAUGAAGGAGAUAACCAUAAGAAGACUCAGUGGUACCGUGAAGGCGUUGCCUAUUGGGAAGUAAGUCUUUCUUAACUCUGGUUCUUACAUUUGUAUGUGGGUACCAUUACCGAACUCAUAGUAUAGUUAUUGGUUUCUUUGGUUGUGCUAAGAGAAGGGUGUGGAGGCAUCGGUAGAUGGGGUGUUGGGUGGAUUUGGGCAAGUAAAUGAGGCAGAUGUCAAGGGUAGUGAGGUUUUUCUCAAUACCCUUUUGCAUGAAAGAUUCUCGAUGGCGGUGGAAGAAAUCACCAUCUUGUUGCUCUUGGUACUUCUCUGUCUCUCUCUGUGUGCUCAACUUUAUAUUGUUUUUAUGAAGUUAUAUACCCAUAUAUGUUCUGUUGAGGUAGUUUGGUUUAUGUUAUUAUGAUUAUUUUUUUACACUAAAAAUGAACCUUAGGUUAUUAUGCGCCAUUAAAUGUGGAAGUGCAAAGUUGGUGAUGGGAUCCUACUUCAUUAGAAUGUAACAUUGGUGGAAAACCUAAUUAACUAUAAAUUAAACAAAAAAACAUAGUGGUGACAGCAGAUAGGGAUGGUGUGAUGGAUGAAAUUUUGAGUUAAAUAUCCGCAAUUAGUGCUUGAAACCGGAAACCAAGAUGACUUGAUAACACAACCAUGAAAAGUUUAUGUCCCAUAAUCCCAACCCAUAAAGGAAAAUAAAUAAAUAAAGAAGAGAAAGGCAUGGAAAUUUGGAUGAAUAUGCAAGAAGCAUGUCAUGCAUUAGAGGUCUUGCUUUGAUUUAGAAUGCCAGCGUUAUAGGUGUUGCAACUAUUUAGAAUGCCAUAAUGCAAUUGAGAAUUGGGUUUACUACAUGCUAUUUUGCUUAAUAAAAAACCAUCUUUAAGCAAUAUUUUUUUUUAAAUGGGGAUUUUUUUAAAGCCCUUUUAAAUAACAUGUUUUUGUAAAAGGCCGACAGGAUACUUUUAACUAUUUUUAGCCAUCAGAAAAGAUUUUGGGAUAAAAAUACCCUUAAUGAGCCGUCUUCGUUAGCGUACACUCUCAAACAGGCGAAAAAUGAGAAAAAAAAAUAUGCAAAGAUUUGUUGUGCAAAAUACCCUUUUUUUUUCGAAGGUUGUGCAAAACAAAAUAAAGUUACAUGAGAUGGUUUUUUAGAGAUUUUGGACAUGGCAUUCGGAUAAUAGGAGAAGAGAGAUAUUAAAUCAAACGAGGAACAGGUCUUCAUGAAUGGAAAGCUUGGCUAAUGAUGUGAAACCAGAAAUCCUUGAUACGGUGGUAAAUUGAAAGGAGAAAGAUGUGAAUCCAAGCAGGAAAUGGUCCUGCUAUAGCAGGCCAUAUGUUAGAUGGCUGUCGCAGGGCAGGUCAGGGUUUAAAGUUUGUGAAACGUCAUGUUGGGAAUGUAUGACACGACACCGCUCAGAGUUGGUGAGACGCCAUUGAGGGAAUCUAUGACACGCUAGAGUUAAGAGUUGGUGACANNNNNNNNNNNNNNNNNNNNNNNNNNNNNNNNNNNNNNNNNNNNNNNNNNNNNNNNNNNNNNNNNNNNNNNNNNNNNNNNNNNNNNNNNNNNNNNNNNNNNNNNNNNNNNNNNNNNNNNNNNNNNNNNNNNNNNNNNNNNNNNNNNNNNNNNNNNNNNNNNNNNNNNNNNNNNNNNNNNNNNNNNNNNNNNNNNNNNNNNNNNNNNNNNNNNNNNNNNNNNNNNNNNNNNNNNNNNNNNNNNNNNNNNNNNNNNNNNNNNNNNNNNNNNNNNNNNNNNNNNNNNNNNNNNNNNNNNNNNNNNNNNNNNNNNNNNNNNNNNNNNNNNNNNNNNNNNNNNNNNNNNNNNNNNNNNNNNNNNNNNNNNNNNNNNNNNNNNNNNNNNNNNNNNNNNNNNNNNNNNNNNNNNNNNNNNNNNNNNNNNNNNNNNNNNNNNNNNNNNNNNNNNNNNNNNNNNNNNNNNNNNNNNNNNNNNNNNNNNNNNNNNNNNNNNNNNNNNNNNNNNNNNNNNNNNNNNNNNNNNNNNNNNNNNNNNNNNNNNNNNNNNNNNNNNNNNNNNNNNNNNNNNNNNNNNNNNNNNNNNNNNNNNNNNNNNNNNNNNNNNNNNNNNNNNNNNNNNNNNNNNNNNNNNNNNNNNNNNNNNNNNNNNNNNNNNNNNNNNNNNNNNNNNNNNNNNNNNNNNNNNNNNNNNNNNNNNNNNNNNNNNNNNNNNNNNNNNNNNNNNNNNNNNNNNNNNNNNNNNNNNNNNNNNNNNNNNNNNNNNNNNNNNNNNNNNNNNNNNNNNNNNNNNNNNNNNNNNNNNNNNNNNNNNNNNNNNNNNNNNNNNNNNNNNNNNNNNNNNNNNNNNNNNNNNNNNNNNNNNNNNNNNNNNNNNNNNNNNNNNNNNNNNNNNNNNNNNNNNNNNNNNNNNNNNNNNNNNNNNNNNNNNNNNNNNNNNNNNNNNNNNNNNNNNNNNNNNNNNNNNNNNNNNNNNNNNNNNNNNNNNNNNNNNNNNNNNNNNNNNNNNNNNNNNNNNNNNNNNNNNNNNNNNNNNNNNNNNNNNNNNNNNNNNNNNNNNNNNNNNNNNNNNNNNNNNNNNNNNNNNNNNNNNNNNNNNNNNNNNNNNNNNNNNNNNNNNNNNNNNNNNNNNNNNNNNNNNNNNNNNNNNNNNNNNNNNNNNNNNNNNNNNNNNNNNNNNNNNNNNNNNNNNNNNNNNNNNNNNNNNNNNNNNNNNNNNNNNNNNNNNNNNNNNNNNNNNNNNNNNNNNNNNNNNNNNNNNNNNNNNNNNNNNNNNNNNNNNNNNNNNNNNNNNNNNNNNNNNNNNNNNNNNNNNNNNNNNNNNNNNNNNNNNNNNNNNNNNNNNNNNNNNNNNNNNNNNNNNNNNNNNNNNNNNNNNNNNNNNNNNNNNNNNNNNNNNNNNNNNNNNNNNNNNNNNNNNNNNNNNNNNNNNNNNNNNNNNNNNNNNNNNNNNNNNNNNNNNNNNNNNNNNNNNNNNNNNNNNNNNNNNNNNNNNNNNNNNNNNNNNNNNNNNNNNNNNNNNNNNNNNNNNNNNNNNNNNNNNACAGCAUUUUACUUGAUAUGCAUGUCGUGUCACAGAAUUUUACUUGUUAUGCAUGGCGUUUGACAGCAUUUUACUUGUUAUGCAUGGCGUUUAACAUCAUUUUACUUGAUAUGCAUGUCGUGUCACAGAAUUUUACUUGUUAUGCAUGGCGUUUGACAGCAUUUAACUUAAUAUGCAUGGCGUGUUACAACAUUUUACUUAUUAUGCAUGGUGUGUCACAACAUUUUACUUGUUAUGCAUGGCGUGUCACAACAUUUUGAUUGCAAUGCAUGGUGUGUCACAACAUUUAUUCCUUAUAUAUGUGUUCAGUGUACCUUGUUGCACAUGACUGCUUAACUCUCUGGUGUAUGUGUGCCAUAUUUUGCAGAUCCAACGCAGAGAGUAUGAGGAUCUUGAGAGUUUGCUGAUCGUGCCGAGGGAGAAGUAGGCGUUCAAUGUCGCAAUUAACACUCACUAUAAGUGGUCGCAGCUGCAUUCCAUCACAAAGACUCUCUAACAGAAGGGGGAGUACGAUCCAGUUAAGCGUACCUGCUUCGGAAUGCUCUUGGACGUAUAUCCACAGGGGUACUUUUACGUCGGUCUCUUGCACAACAUCAUGAUUCACCGGAUCACUGAGAGGCAGUCAAUGGACCACGAGCUAUGGUUUGCCAUUGGCAAGAGCAAGGCGCGACUAUCAAAGCGGGAGUUCUGUCUCAUCACCGGGCUGAAGUUUGGUCCAAUGCCCGAUGUGUUCAGACGAUCAUACGAGGUUGCUGCAGAUGGAAUUCAUGCAAGAUACUGGAACGGGGAGGACAGCGUUAAGCUGCAGGCUUUGCUUGAUACCUUCCGCGGGGGUAACUUUCAGCGACCAAGAGAUGCGACCAAGAUGGCACUCGUCUUGAUCGCGAAUAACAUUUUAUUUGGUCAAGACUACCAUAGACGGGUGACGCCUUAAUUGCUGUCAUUGGUGGAGGACAUCGACGUUUGGAAUGUCUUCCCAUGGGGGCACUAUGUUUGGAAACUGACCUUGGACUACCUUUUGAAGGGGUUCGAAGUUCCUGACUUGAGCGUGACAAAGGAAACUCGGUUACGUUACAACAUUUACGGAUUCGCAUGGGUGAUACAGGUACUAAAACGUAACAUUUUUCAAUUUCCUUUCGAAAAAAAAAUUUAUGGGUGUAGUCGUUUAUGAUUGACGGUCUGAUAAUGGUUACAUUUGGCAUGCAGUUAUGGGCAAUGGAGACAAUUUCGGCCCUCCGAAAAAUAGUUGCCCUCUCUGGUCAGAAGGACAACGUCCACCCAUGAAUGUGCAGAUGGGAUUGCAAUCAGAAGCCAAAAGACUUCUACAGGACAAUUCAGAAGUUAGAGUCAUCUGACCAAGUGAGUGAACAACUGUUAAUUUUUACGUUAUAUUUGUAAAAUAAUUUUCCUUAUUCGAUAAUGACAACAUUUUAUUUGUUUAUUUGUAGUUGUGGGCACUGGAGGCGUUGUAACCCACCACGGAUGAGGCCCUCCGGGAGUAUUUUGUGGACCUUGAUGUCCCGUUAUCAGAGGGCAACGAGUACGUGCCAAUAGGGCACAUGGAGGAUCGGUCAGCUUGGGGCUUAGGUGCGAGGCUAAAAAGGAAAAGCUUGAAGGAGAAAAGAGCCUCUGGUGGCACGAAGAGGAUGCACACCGCCGCUGCUUUAGUUGAUGAGUUGAUGGAUGAAGGGGACGACCAUGGUCAAGGCAGUGAACAGCCAGUAAGGACAAUUGUAACAGUUUUGUGUUCUCCAAUUCCAUUUGUGAUUAUCGAAUAACAUUUCUGUGUUUGCGGUUGGACCAUGGGUCGGCAGCUCCAGAACCACCCACCGGUCUUCCUCAAAUGCAAAGUGGAAACGACCUGUCGGUAAGAUCGGUUCUAACGGUUUGUGUUCUACAUUCUCACAUAUGUUUAUCGAGUAACACAGUAAUUUAUGUAAUUGCAGUUUACGGAAGCGACGACAGGUCCUCAAGCACCGAUAGGUCCAGCUCAACCGCAGACUGCUAACUAGCCGGCGGUAAGGAUAUUAAAGUUAUAACAAUUAAUGUUCAACAAAUUCAUACAUGAUUAUUGAAUAACACAAUUAAAUAUGUAAUUGCAGUAUGCGGAAGCGACAAUAGGUCCUGAAGCACCAAUCGGUUCGGCUCCACCGCAGACUGCUAACGAGCCGCCGGUUAGGAUAUUAAAGUUGUAACGGUUAAUGUUCAAUAAUUCCAUAUAUGAUUAUUGAAUAACAUAAUUAUAUAUGUUAUUGUAGUUGACCUAGUCGAGAACAGUCAAUGACGGAGCAGUCACAACUCGCCAGCUCCGAUGGAUCAUGCGCAAGCAUGAAAAAGAUAUGUUGGAGCUGAAGGCUUCAAUUCAGUCAUUGAGUGUAGCAAUGUAGACGAUUGAGGACCAUAUUGUUGGUCGGAUUCUUGACGGCCUUAAAUCACAAGUACGCUAUUCUAUCUUCGCUUGUAUUUUGAUGGUUUACGUUUAGCAACUAUUUAGACUGUGUUUUCUUGAUGGUUUUAACUGCUUUUUGGUCAUUAGCGGGUCAAGACAUUUCUAUUAUAGUUAGUUGUUGUCGUGUCAGCUUUAGCGUGUCACAACAUUAUAUAUGUUAUUUAUGGCGUGUCACAACCUUUGAUUUUGAUAUGCAUGGCGUGUCAGAACAUUUUGCUUGUUUUCCUUGGCGUGUCACCAAGUUUAUCUUGUUAUGCAUGGUGUGUCACAACAUUUUCCUCAUUAUCCUUGGCGUGUCACCAAGUUUAUCUUGUUAUGCAUGGCGUGUCACGACAUUUUACUUGUUUUGCAUGACAUGUGACAACAUUUUACUAUUUAUGGGUUGUGGUAUUUUAUAAGCUAACUAACUGUUUUUCCAAUUUUGUAGGGCGGUCCAUCUCACAGUGCUGGUCUGGAGCACGAUGAUGCUGAUGAUGGACAACAUCAUGAACUUGGUGUUGACAUUGACGAUGACGUUUUUGGUGCUGAUGGAGAGCACGUAACUCAUGUAGAUGACGUCGUCGAAGAAGCUGUGGCAGUGGAUGUCACCCUUCAGUCAGAUGCUGAAGGAGAACAUCUUCCUCCGGCCUAUGCAUUCAUCGACGCAGCAGCAGGAGCUAUCGUUCAUUAUCGUGAGAGCACUCCUGAUACAGUUGAGAUACGGUUGUCGUCACCAGAGUCAUUUGCUGUCCAUCAUGGUGCAACAAAAGUUUCAAACCCAACUGAGCGGGCACGGUUGAAAAUGGUGAACAAAUACAUGGCAAGCCCAUUCGUCGACCCCUUAGUGACCCGUCGAAAUGUGAGGGAUAAUAUAGGAAAAGACUACGAAGCUUUCAAGAAAGAGGAGUCUGCGAGGUAAGCUCAUAAAUAAAAUUGCAAAUAUUGUUUUUCAAUGAAACAGUUAUCCACCAAGACUUAUGAAAUUAAUUAUGUUACAUAUGCAAGUGUAACAUCGGCAUCUUAGGGGAUCAAGGGGCUGACUUUUUCAUAACCUUAGAGGAUCCUAAUAAGGAAAUGACAAGUGAACAUAUCGACGCAUGCCUCAGCCUAUUCUGCAAGCGGAUGACAGGGCCGAAGUCGAAGUUGUACACUACCCGUGCAUGCAUGGUUGACACGAUAUUCUCCGUAAGUUUAUUUGAAAAUUGUUCAAUUCUAUAAAUACUAAGUUUUUGAUUGCAUGAAGUGUAAGCUAAUAUUUACAUGUUUUACAAGACACCAUCCGUAUACUACACACAGAAUUUCCAACAGAAGAUGCCCAAGCCAAAAUGUAAAUUCGAUGAGUUGCGGGGCUAUGUGGAGGGUGAAAGGCCAACGUACGCCAAAAAAUGGAAAGAUGUUGAUUUCAUCAUCGUGCCUUGCAACGUUGGUGGGCAUUGGGUGGUUGCGAAGAUCGACUUGGUGAGGUGGACGAUCAAGGUUGUGGACGAAGCAAUAACUUCGAAUGCUAAGGAUAACGGAGUUCGUGCGGGUCAGAUGACACCCUUGACGACAAUGAUGCCAUUAAUCUGCCACCAAGCCGGUUAUUUCAACAACAUACGUAGGAAGAGACGGGAUUUGACACCGAUGCCAUUGGAUAUUCAUUUACCAAAAACUAAAGUGCAUUGGCAGAAUGAUAGUGUCAGCUGCGGUAUGUUCAUGAUAGGGUACAUCGAGCAUAUUUUGCAAUCAGAAAAGAUCAGAAUUAAGCAGAAUAUGAUUGCAAAAAUGCGUCGGCAAUAUGCUCUGGAAAUUUUUUCCAACAAUUGGGAGAGUGAACCUUGAACAUAUAGGCCCUUGUUUGUAUAAUUUUUUUGGUACACAUAAAUUUUUUUAUACAAUUCAUUUUAUACACAUUUUUUGUACACACUUUUUAUUGAAUACAAUUCAUUGUAAACAGAUAUAAUUCUUUCUGUAUACACAAUAUACUUUGUAUAAUUAUUUGAUACACAAUUAACUUUUUUGCCUAUACACAAUUAAUUUGAUACCAAUAAUUUUUUUUCUUUUCUAUAUACAAUAUAUUUAAUUUGAUACACAGUCGGAAGAAGUCAGCGUGUGACACCUUAAAUAUGAUACCACUCAACGUGUCCCAACAUACAUCUGCUUGCACUAAGCGUGUCACCCAAAAAUUUAGCAAUUAGUCAACGUGUGAUGCCGUAAAUCCACUAACACUCGGCGUGUCAGCCGAUAAAUAUACUUCCACUCAGCGUGUUAGAAGAAUUGGGCCGUCGUGUGUCACCCCAGGUUGGCAUUAAUUAAUUUCUAGGUUCGUCGUCUUUCUUUUCCAGGCACACCGGCUGCACCAACCCAACAUUACAUUGAUUAACAUUGAAUAUAUAGAUUUUUCCAUCCAUCUAAUUGCUUCCAGCAUGAAAUUGUUCUGUAUCCAUCCUCCCUUAUUUUUCCAGUUGUUUCCAGGCCAAAAUUCUAUCCUGCCAUUAUAAAAUCAUACGUCUAAAUUUACACACCAGAACUUGUUAUGCAUGGCGGGUUAGAACAAUUUAAUUGUUAUGCAUGGCGUGUCGGAACAUUUUGCUUGUUAUCCUUGGCGUGUCACAACCUUUUACUUGUUAUGCAUGGCGUGUCAGAACAUUUUGCUUGUUAUCCUUGGUGUGUCACAACCUUUUACUUGUUAUGCAUGGCGUGUCAUUUCAUUUUUCUUGUUAUGAAUGGCGUGUUACAAUAUUUUAUUUGAUAUGCAUGGCGUGUGACAACAUUUAACUUGUUAUGCAUGGCGUGUCUCACAUUUAUUCUUUAUUUAUUUCUUCUGUAUACCUUGUUGCACAUUAUGGCUUAACUCAUUGGUGCAUCUGUCCUAUGUUUUGCAGAUCCAACGAUAUAGUAUGAGGAUCUUGACAUUUUGUCUGCUCGGUAAUUCUAUGAGGCCUUUUUAGUUACGGACUUUGUUGCCAAACAUUUCAGACAGAUAAGCAAAUACAUGGCUCUUGUCUGAUAAAGAUUGUAAUUAGAAACAUUUUUUACAAACAAAUAAGAAUGUACUUUAACACGAUCUUGAUCAGAUAGAGGCCUUGACAUGCUUAUCUGCCUGAAAUGUUUGGCAACAAAGUCCGUAACUAAAAGUGCCUCAUAGAAUGAUCGAGCAGACAAAUCCGUAAAGCAAAACGAAUUCAACUACAAUUUUCAGAUACAUUUAGUUAGGCGGUCAGGCUGUCUUCAUUCACAACACAGCUUACAUUUUCAGACAUUCUCCUUCGUAUUGGACAGUUGUUGCGUGUGUGAUCGAUUUGUCUGCAACUUGAACAUGCUUUGGGUCGGCGCAGUCGUGGAGUCGCCGAUUGACUUGGAGAUGGUGCUGGAUUUAUGGAUGGAACUGCAAAUGGGUAUGGGCAGUUCUGUCUGUCAUGCCCGUACCUCUUGCAUUGCGAACAUCUCCGUGCUUGACUGCCUUCACCAGCUGAUGGAAUCCUUCUCCUCCUAGGUUUUUCUGUUUGGCCUCGCCAAGGUGAAGGUAAGACGACAAUUUGUUUCACAUGAGGGAGGAUGCCCCACUCACUAGAAUGCCCUACCGGCCUAAUGGAUCCUGAAUAACCCUCCACGAAAACGGUUGUCUUGUAGUAGUCAGCGCAAAAUUCAAUGGCUUCACGAUUGCAUUUACUGAAAAACACUAAAAACUCAAUCUUCAAGCACAAUGUAAAGGCUAUGUCAAUUACGGUUCAAAUAAGAAAUAAAUAUAUUCUGACCUUAUUACUGCAAUGGCAUGGCUGCAUGGCAGUAAAUCUGUUUGGAACUCACAACAUGAACACGUCUUCCUGGACAAGUUUACAAGUCCAUCCAUCUUCCCGUCUUUAACUUCAAACUUCACUCGAUUGAUAAGCUUAACUAGAAAGCGAUGUGCAUCAUUGAACCUUUUACUCAACUACCUGGCAACCCAAGGGCUGAGGGGCGUGGUCACCUUGACGGCCUCUUCGUACCGUUCAUGGAACCAACACUGGAACAUGUCUUUGAUGAACUCGAUCAAAACAGUGAUCGGCAUUUGUCUUGCAUGCUUCAAGCAUGAGUUAACACAUUUCGCAAUGUUGAAUGUCAUCAUUUGGUAUCGCCUUGUCGGUGAACAUGCACGUGCCCAUUUCUCAGGCCCUAUUCUUAUAAAGUUCGCGUGGGCUCUCAGGUGAAUCUGCUGUAUUUGGUUCAUAUGUCUGUUGAAAUCAGCCACCUUAUAGCAAUCUUAAGCAAGGGUGAAAAGCAUACAAACAUCGUCACGCUUGAACUUGUUUUUAAAAUUUUUUUUCAAGUGGUAACCGCAUAAACCAUGGUGCGCUUCUGGGUAUGCAUUUUGGAUUGCUUUCUUAAUGCCGAGAUGCUGAUAAGAAAUGAACAUAGUGUUUUCAGGACAACCAACCGCAUCAUGCAGCUUAAGAAACCACAUCCACGAGUCUUCGUCCUCAACAUGGCCGAUGCCAAACGCAACUAGAUAUAUGCACUCAUUCACAUCUUUGCAUACAGCGACAAAUAAAACACCUUUGAACCUGCCUUUCAGAUGUGUCGCAUCAAUUGCAACCGUAAGACGCAUUACAUCCCUAAACCCCCGAAUACAAGCCCUGUAUGACCAGAAACAAUAUUUGAAUCUCUCUUCCUCAUCAGUAGCCAUUGCAGUCACUGUGCCAGGAUUUUCUUGUUCCAACAUAUAAAAAUACGAUGGUAGUAGUUGGAAUGACUCCUCCGGUGGACCGAAAACAAGCCUCUCUGCAUACUCCUUCGCUUGCCAAGCCUUACCAUACAAGCAUUCCAAUCCCCACUGAACCCUCAUCUCACAAAUUAUGUCCUUAAGUCUCAAUGCUACUCCAUUACCCCGAAUCUUGUGUGACAUAAGUUCACCAAUCAUCUUCCCACUCGUAGUUGGAAACCGUCCUUGCAAACCAUCAAUGGUACAGGUAUGUACUUUGUGGAAUGUUCGAACUUUCCAAUAUUCUCCUCUAUCAGGUAACUUCAUUGCACGAACACUGAACUUGCAUGCCUUGUCCUUGCAACCAACCUCAUAACGAGCUUUACAUGACUUUUUUACUCUUAUCGCAAACUUCUCUUUUAUAACCAACAUGUUCAAAGCUCGUUUCAACUUUGCCUUCGACGAAAACAUUCUUCCUUUGUAUAAGCGAUCUUCGGCACAUGUCGACUCCUCAGUGGUAAUUGUUUGGAAGAAGAACCUUUCUGCACCUGUAAUUACCUACAUACGAGAUAUCCUUGCAUUUCCCCUUUCCUGAUCACUAUCAUCGAGCAAUGUAUCAAAGGAACGAAUCUCGUUCUCACCAACGAUGGGGUUAUUGUAUAUGGGGUCAUCACACUGAACAUCUCCUACAUUAACACCUCCAAUAGGUUCCGUUUCGCCUUCAACAUUAUUGCAAACUCGAAUGUCACUGUCAUAAAGGCAGUCAUCGUCUAAACUGUCACCUUGCGAUUGUUCAAGCCCAUCAUCUGAAGUGUGAUCAAAUCUAUCUUCACCGGCAGCGAACAAAUUCUCAUUUCCCUCAUCAAAUGCAGUAUUAUACUCCAACGUCGCAGUGUCACCCUCCAACCUCACAUUGAUAUCCUCAACUAUCGUAUUCUCAUUUGACAAUGGCAUUUCACACUCUACAGUUUCACCCGAUCAUUGCAUUUGUUCAAGAGAAGAAAGAAAUUGGUUUAAUGCACAUCCUGAUGGAAAUUGUGCAGCCAACUGUUCUGUUAAUGUCGUUUGUCUACCGGGCUGCACAAACUCUUGUGCAUACCUCAAUUGCCAUUGUUGUGGGUUACGGACCGAAUGCUGUGGUAUAUGUGAAGCAUUUUAAAUCUCAUUUUAAUUCAGUUGAUUACUAUGUUGUCCAACUUCUCCAUGUGACAUAACAUUUGUUUGGCGUCUCUUAAUGCUGACAUACACAGCCGGAACAUUCCUCUGUUCUAGCAAAAUUAAUGCAACAUCUUCAUCGUCCUUGAUAAUUGGCCGUGAUAGCUCUCCAAGUGUACUGAUCAAUGCAUGUAACUCAAUCUCGUCAAUUUCUAAGUUUACCCCAACAACAUCUUCAACCAGCUUUAUCAAGCCCAUAAACGACAAAUCACUCUUAACCCCCCGCAUUCGUGACUCACCACCCUUGUAAAUGCCAUCCAGCCACUGACCAUCGUGUCUUAUCACAAGUCGCAUAAUUGAAACCCCACUGAAAUUUUGAAAAAAAAAUUAUCAAUCAUUUUACACAAUACAUGCCGUGAUAAAAAAUUUGUCAGUCGUGUUGUUACACGCCAUGCAAAUAACGUAAAAUGUUGUAACACGCCAUGCAUAUCAAGUCAAAUGUCGUGACACGCCAUGCAUCAGUAUCGUUACACGUCAUGCAUCACUGUCGUGACACACCAUGCAUCACUGUCUUGACACGCCAAUCACUGUAAUUACUGACUGGUUACACCAACAUCCGUGACACGCUAAAAACCCAAAAAACCAGUUAACCCAUGACACACCAGGAACAGCCAUGACACGCCAAAAACCCAUAAAUUCAGUUAACCCACCACACCCCAAGAACAGCCGUGACACGCUAAAUAACUCUUCACUCAUGUUAUAGAUGCAUGGCGUGUAACAACUUUGGGCAAUGUUUCUAAUCCAUCUUAUCAUUUACACCAAAUGUUUCAAAAAUUUAAGUGUGUUGCAGAAAUAAACCUAAUAACAGGUACCUUGAUGUCAUCUCUGCUAUAGGGUGUGUUAAUCUACGACAAUGUGGCCAGAUGUCGAGAGAUAAACCACAGCCCGAUGACGAUGGUGCUCAACAGAGAGUUGACAGAGCUCAUACAAUUCAAAGAUUUGAGAGAGCUGACAAUGAUGGUGCUCAACAGAGACUUGCCACAGUUGAGACAAAGAAAGAUGACCGAGCCCAAACAGCUUUGUGCAUUUAUUUUUAAUGUUUUUCAUUUUCUCUCUGGUAGGAGGCAGAUAGCUCAAACAGCUAAGCAUUUAUUUGAAACGAUAUUUUUAAGGGCAUUUUGGUCUAAUUCAUGUUUAUUUUUGGGUAGAAACAGAUAACUUUAUAUGGGUGGUUAUUUCUGAAAUCACCUUAUCACGAUAUCCUUCUCUCACAAUUUCCUCUUUUUAAAUUUGGGAAGAAGCUUGCUAGGAGUUCUCUCUCUGUCCCUUAAGGGUUGUGUGCUUGUGGGGGGUGGGUGUUGGGGCACCCCUAGACCCAAUUUGAGACUGUUGUGAGUACUCAGAAUAAAGGAAAGAAAUUUUUGUGUUUAAGAUUGAAAAAUCACUUUCACAUUACAUCAGCAACGAAGAUGCUAUAUCUUGCUAAUAUUCUGGAACUUGUUAUCCUUUGAAAGGCAAAAAUUAGAUAUGUCUUCAGUAUGUUUUAUUACUAGGAGAUUGAUUCUUCAACAUGAGUAGGAUCUAUAAUUGCCUAUAUAUGAAGUUGGUCUUAAUACUUGUGAGUUGGUGGACUAUACUAGGGCAAUUAACUGAAAUCUUACGAAGGGGAAUUGUAGGGGAAAUUAUUUAGGAAACUAAGCAGUUGGAGUUUGGCUUUAAUGUAAAGAUAUUUUGGUAACUAAGCAAUAAUGGUUUGGCUUUAAUAUGAAGAUAAUUAAGUGAUUUCCACAAGUUUUAUUAUAAGUAAUAUGAUAUAAGAUGCACUUAAGCACUUAGCUUUAUGAUUUGUGCAUGUAUCCCUUGCUAAAAGAGCUGGUUUUAAAUUACCCUCCCCUAAUGAAAUAAAAUAAAACAUGAUAAUUGAUGGUUGUGCCCUCAAACUUUUGCCUUCAUAUGGUUUAUGUUGGUGGAAUUAAAACAAACUCUUUUGAUGAUCUUAGUGUAGAAGAAUCUGGUACAUUUUAGGGCUUAGCAUACUAAAUUAAACUAUGUCAUAAUUCUCAAAACACUGCAUUGCUGACCUUUUUUUCAAGUCCAUACAUUAAGUAGUAGAAAUACCUGCAAAUGGUUCUAAAGCAUACUUAAAAUAUUACUGCAGUACUGAUCUGUUUGGUAUUUCAUUUUUCUUGAUGUUUUUAAUUCUAAUUGAAAAUCAUAAAUCUAGUUGACAUUCUGAGCUCUUAGUUUCUAUGUUAAUUUAACAUACUGCAGAUUGUGGUUCUGGCAUAGGAAGAAUAACCAAGAAUCUUCUCAUAAGAUAUUUUAAUGAGGUAAGGUCAUUUUUCUCUUUCUAUUAGCAUAUUUUUAAUAUUUCUGACAUUUACCAUCUUUGCAGUUUAUUGAUAACAUGGUUCAUAGUGCAUAAUUUUUACUACCUAAAGAAUUUCUCAGUUGUAUUUGAAUGAAAAGCAAAAUUGGGUAGUGCCUUUUAAAAAAUUCAUGCAGGACAUGAGGAGGGUACCCAUUAAUUUCAAGGUACCUAAACCUUAACCCUAUAAAAAAUCAAAUAUCUAAACCCUAUUAAUUACCUGAAUAAUUUUAAAAGUUACUACCCUAACCUUAACCUUAACCCUAAUACAUUCCCGCUAUCCUAUAAUUACCCUAACCUAUUUAAAAGCCCGAUUAGAUAAAAAAUUUAUUAAAAUGUUCUUCAUGGGUACCCAAUUACCUAAACCCGAACCUGUAUUCAUAUACAAUAAUAUUUCUUCUACAUUUUACAUAUAAUUAACUACUAAUUAAAUUAAUAAAAGCACAAAUAAUAAAAUUUAAAUUUAAAUAAUCAAAAACUAUAAAGUGUGUUUAUAAAUUGAACAUAAUAUAUAAUAUAAAUCAAUAUUAUUUUAUUGUUUAAUAGUUAUUAACUUAUAUAAUAGCAAUGAUAUUCUUUAUAAAUGAACAUAAUAAAUAAUAUAAAGUAUAUGUAUUAAAAGACAAUACAAGUUAUAUACUAUAAAGUGUGUAUAUAUAAAUUAUAAUUAAUAAUUUUAUAAAUUUAUAUUUUAUAANAAAUUAUAAUUUUUAUAAUGUUAACAAAAAAUAAAAAGUAAAUACAUUUAUUUUUAAAGUGUAUAUAUAUAUAUAUAUAUAUUAAAAGUAUUUUAGUGUAUAUAUAUAAUAGUGAUUAUAUUCUUUAUAAAUGAACUCAAUAUAUAUAAAGUAUAGAUAUUAAAAGAUAUUACAAGUUAAUUAAUAAUCAUAGUUUCAUUAAUUAAUUUAAUUAAUUAUAUGAGUUUGUCCUUUACUACAAGAAAUUAAAAAAAAUAGUUAAGUUUCAAAACUAUUCUAAUCUCACAACUUCUUUUUAGAUAAUUAAGUUUAUCUAUAUAAAAGUAUCUAUAUUAUAAUUAAUAAUUUUAUAAGUUAUAAUUUUUGUAAUGUUAACACAAAAUAAAAAGUAAAUAUGGUUAUAUUUAAAGUGUGUACACACACUAAAAAUGUUUUAUUAUAUGUAUAAUAGUAAUUAUAUUUUUUAUAAAUGAACCCAAUAUAUAUGUAGACACUAGUUUUUUAGGUGAAAUAAACAUUAAAAAAAUAAAAGAAAAAAGAAAAAAAGAGAGAAAAUCAAAAAAAUAAUAAAACAAAAAUCAUAAACAAAAAUGAAUUAAAAAUAAUAAUAAUAAAAAUAGGAGAGAGAGAGAGAGAGAGGGGUACGACUGGUAGGGUGCGGACGCACCCUGCCAGGCACCACCCUCACUUUGCUAUACACGAAAAAUUCGCGUCUAGCAGAGUAAUGGGAGCGUGCCCCCUUUUGCCCAGUAUAAAGGGGGCACUAUAGCACAGGGAUCGGAGGAAUCGAUAAUAAAAAAAAUACCUUGGUAACAUUCAGCAACCAAAAAACCCUAGGAAUCUCUUAAAACCGAAAACAAACCCAGAAAAAAAUCGCUUGGAGUAAAAAACCUGCAAACCAAAAAUUCCUAAGAAUCCCUAGCAAAAUCUAGCAACCAAAACACCCAGCCACAAUCAAAAACAUCCUAAGCUUUCUAGCAGCCAGAAACCAUCCACAAUCGAAACAAAAAAAUUAAAAAAUCACAAAAAGGGAAAACGGGUAGCCGUGUUCUCUUUUUGGGGAUUUUUAGUUUGUUUUUUUAGGGGAGAUUUGGAGGGGAUUUCAGCAACCGAUGAGGUAUUUGAGUUUGGGGAUUUCGUGCCGCCGUAGUAGAGAGAGAGAGAGAGAGAGAGAGAGAGUGAGUGAGUGAGUGAGUGAGGAUUUGGGGUUUUUGGGAUACCACCGGUUUUAGAGAAAUAGAGUUAGGGCUUGGGUUUGCUACCGGUUCAAGGAAGGAUUGACCGGCGACUAGAAGGGAAGAUCUAGUCGGUCGACGACAGGGAGGGUAGAGCCAGAUUCAGACGGUAAAGAGAGAGCAGAAUCAGGCGAUCGGCGGUGAGGAGUGUGAUGCACCGUUUGAGCAGGAAAGGAACAGGAAAGUGGCUGUCGGUGAAGGGUUUUUGAGAGAGAGAAGCUGACGCCGGUGAAGAGGGGAAGGAAGAAGAGUUUUUUGGAGAGAGAGGACAGUAAUCGGCGGCUAGACAGAGAAACAAAAGGUAGAAAAUGAAAGGUUCUAGGGAGAAGAAAGAAAGGUGAGCGGUAAGGGAGAAGAAAAGAAAAAAGAAAAAAAAAGGGAAGGUUUUUCUCCAUUGCACCAAACAAUGCCGUUUUGGGCAUACCAGGGGUGGCUGUGUAAAGCACCAGACAGUGGGCUUAGUGAAGAUCGUGGGUCAACAGGUUAGCUUGGGCCCACUUAGCCCAAUCAGGUAAAAUAUUACUCAUUGCCAAAUGGGUCUGUGGUGAUUUGGGCUGUCUAAACUGUUAUGAUAUGGCUUGUUUAGAUUUAACCCAAUUUAUUUAGUUAGAGCUUUAAUACUUGAUGAUAUAAAAUUAAUUUUAAGUUAUUAUAAUGUUCUAAAAAUUUCUGGAUAAUAGUCCUAGGGUUAGGAAAUUACUAAAGAACAGAAUAACAUAAAAAUAAGGAUAGCAAAUAUAUAUAUAAAAAAUAAUAAUAAUAACAUUUUAGAAAGCGUUUAGUUAUGCAAAGAACUUAAGUUUAGGAGAAUGUUUAUUGCAAAUAUAUAAAUAACCCUUUUAAAUACAUGUAUAUAAAAAUAAUAUAUAAAAAAAUAUAUAAAAAUUACCAUGACAUCAACUACAAAUAUAAUACUGAUGAUGGGAUGAUUGGUCGGGACGGUAGGAGUCGCAAUCCCAAGCUAAUUUUCUUUAGGUUCGGAAUCCAAAUUAAGGCUUCACCAGUACGAUGGGAGGGCCUCGAUUUUGAGAUUCUGAGAUUUUUAUUCUAAAUAAAUAAAAUUUUACUACAUAAAGAAAAAAUUAGUCAAAAAAUAAUAAAUAAUAAAUAAAUAAAAAUAGAAAAAAUAAAAAUAAAAUAAGCAUAAACUUCACGAACAUAACAUAUAUUUUUAUUGCAUCAUGCAUACCAUUGCAUAUAAGUAUUUUUGUUUACGAGUUAAGCCCCGAUGAUGGGAUUUUUCGAGGAUCUUGUGAAGGUUAGUAUUUCUUGGAAAGUUUCCUAGGUGAAAAGAUGUCUUCGGGUCCCACCAAUAUGAUGGGAGGGCUCGAAAAAACAUCUUUAAUAAAAGGCUUUCGCUCGUAUUAGGUUCAUUAUUCACGAAAAUAUUAUUUUUUAAAGAAAAACGUGCGAUAACCCCGAUGAUAGGAUUUAUUCGUUGAAUUUGUGAAGGCGAAUUUCUUGGAUAAUUCUCUAAGUAAGAGAACACCCCGGAUCCCACCAGUAUGAUGGGCGGAUUCGGGAGAACGUCUUCGAUAAAAGGUUAUUCGUUCGACAUUUUUUAUCUCACGCCGUGCAUUUCAUUUUACCUUACACUUGCAUUUCAUUUUAAAAUCAAACAAAAUAAUUUAAUAAAAUUGGAGAUAUAAUAAGCAAGUUAUAGCUAAGGAAAUUAAAUGAACUUAAAAAAUAAAGCCUAAUAGGAUAAUCUAAAAAUAGUACCGUUCAUGGAACGGGCGUUUCAGGGGUGUUAAUCUUUCUCCGGGCGUAACCGUACUCCCGAACCUAGAUCUCGAAAAAUGUAGAACAAUUUAAGAUUCUUUCGACGGGCUUAAAUCUAAUUAAAACUCUAUCGAUUAGAAUCGAGUUAAUAGAUGGCCAAUCACACUUAGUAAAAAAGAUUGGUAGCGACUCCUAGUUUUUAGAGUUUUCACUCACGUCUAGCGGUUGGGUUCCCGGACCUGCACGUUACGACAAUAUAUAAAGUAAAUAUAUUAAAAGAAAUUACAAGGUAAUUAAUAAUCAUAGCUUUAUGAAUUAAUUUAAUUAAUUAUAUGAGUUUAUCCUUAAUUAUAUGAAAUUAAAAAAAAUAACUAGGUCUCAAAACUAUUCUAAUCUCACAACUUCUCUUAAGCUUUGCAUAUUAUAAGUUUAUAUAAACAAAGGUAUAUAUAUUAUAAUUAAUAAUUUUAUAUGUUAUAAUUUUUUUAAUUUUACUACAAAAUAGAAAGUAAAUNAUAUUUCUCUUACAUAUUCUAUAUAAUUUACUAAUGAUUAAAUUAAUAAAAACACAAAUAAUAAAAUUUAAAUUUAAAUAAUCAAAAACAAAUAUCUCAAAUAUAACUAAUAGAAAGUAAAUAUAUUUAUAUUUAAAGUACAUAUACAUACACACACAUUAAAAGUAUUUUAAUAUAUGUAUAUAUAUAAUAGUAAUUAUAUUCCUUAUAAAUGAAUCUAAUAUAUAUAAAGUAUAUAUAUUAAAAGACAUUACAAGUUAAUUAAUAAUUAUAAUUUUAUGAAUUAAUUUAAUUAACUAUACGGAUUUAUCCUUAAUUACAUAAAAUUAAAAAAAAAACAUAACUUGGUUUCAAACUAUUCUAAUCUCACAACUUCUCUUAAGCUUUGCAUAUUAUAAGUUUAUAUAAACAAAAGUGUAUAUAUUAUAAUUAAUAAUUUUAUAUGUUAUAAUUUUUUUUAAUUUUAAUACAAAAUAGAAAGUAAAUAUAUUUAUAUUUAAAGUGUAUAUAUACUAAAAUUAUUUUAGUAUAUAUAUAGUAGUAAUUAUAUUUUUUAUAAAUGAACUCAAUAUAUAUAAUGUAUAUAUUAAAAAACAUUUCAAGUUAAUUAAUAAUUAUAGUUUAAUAAAUUAAUUUAAUUAACAUAUAUGUUUGUAUUUAAUUAAUGAAAUUAAAAAAAAUAGUUAGAUUCAAAAACUAUUCUAAUCUCAAAGACUCUCUUUAAGUAUAUAUAUUAUGAGUUAUAAUUUUUGUAAUAUUAAUACAAAGUAAAAAGUAACUAUAUUUAUAUUAGAAGUAUAUAUAUAAUAGUAAUUAUAAUCCUUUGUAAUAUGAUAUGAUAUUCAUAUUAUUUAAACAUAAUUUAUAAUCUAAUAAUUUUUUAAUUGAAAUAUUUUAAUGUAAUCACAUUAAUAAUUUGAGUAACCAGACUUUUUAAUAUAUUUGUCAGCUUUUAAUAAAUAUAUUAAUGUUGAUUAUUUUUAAUUUAAUCAUUUAAAUAACAACAAAAUAUAUAUAAACAGGUAUUGGGAUCGAGUUCGAGGUGGGUACCCGUGUAACUUGAAUAGUAACAUAAUCGGGUUCAGGUAGCGGGUACCCAAGAGGUACUACCCCGAACCUGAUAUGGGUAGUGAAAUCACUAUCCGAACCCGUCCUAAACUUGAUUAUAGGGUAUCUUAAUCCGAUAUAACCGGGUUGGAUACCUGUGGGUAUCUUAUAAUAGGGUAUGCAUUGCCAUCCCUACACAUUAAUAUGUAAUUCCAAUACAGUGAACAUGAUGUGGAACAUGGUGGACUUUUUCUUUUUCCUCUCUUUUUCUUUCAUCGAAUGAUAUGAAUCAGUGACAUAGUAUUAGUUGGAGCUACUAUCUUAAUAAAGCUGCAUAGUACUUUGUGAUAGCUAUGCUUUUGGACCCCUCUUCCCUUUACCAUUCUCCAGGUUGAUCUACUUGAGCCAGUUUCGCAUUUCUUAGAUGCUGCCCGUGAAAGUUUGUCUCAGGAAUAUUUUGUAGCCUCUGAUGCGCACAAAGCAAAUAAUUCUACUGUGUCUCCCUUCAGGUCAUGUACUUCAAGACUACAUUCACACAUGGAUACAUGCUUCUUGAUGUCUUGAAGUAUUCAUAACUAUGGUUAAGUCCAUGUAAGCUAUGUAUUUCCAACUUUUCACGUUUCCCUAUAUUGCGGAUGUAGCCAUGUAAUUUGCACCUCAAGCAGGCAUGUUGUUUGAGUACAAUCCUGGGAAAAACUUACAGAAGUUAAGGUAAACAUGUUAAAUAUGGGUUUGCAUCUGGAACUCACAUUUGAAUCUGGGCAACAUAGUCUGUACUCUGUAGGCGGCUGGAUUCAAGUAAAUUUUUGCAAACAAUUAUUUACUCUUUUGUGUGUGUUGGGGUGGGGGGGGUAGGGGACAGCAUAUGGGCUAGUGAAUGAGCCCUUUAAGUUGGUGAUAUAUGUGCUUGUCUUCUUCUGAUGCUUCUGGCUGUUAAAUUUUACUUUAUAAAACAGAAAUUUGACGACCAUUUUUUUUUUGUCUUUUGCUUUUUCAGGAGUUCACCCCUGAUGCUGGAAGGUACAAUGUUAUUUGGAUUCAGUGGUGCAUUGGUCAUCUCACAGAUGACGACUUUGUCUCAUUUUUUAAGAGAGCAAAGGUGAAUAAAUCUUCUUCUUGAGACAGAACUUACUUUUUAUUUGACAUGUUGUGCUGUGUGGAAGUGCAUGGAAAGAUCAAAAUUAUGUAUUGAAAUUUUCUUGCCUGCUGUCUACUAUACAUUCGAAGUGCCUUGUUCUGAUUUUUGAAUUAUGAACUGUCAGAUCAUUGCAAUGGUAUCUCAAAUUUUCCUUUUCCAAAUUUAUUGCUUCAUGCUUUCUCUCUUGUAACGUCUUUUAAACCUUCUCACAGCUAUAGGAAUUAAGGUUGUCUAGAGAACACAACAUAGCAAACACCGGAAGGAUGAUAUCGUCAAACUCUUUUUUCUUUUUGCCCUUUCUUUUUGCAAUGUGUCGUGUUGUUCAUUCUAUUCUUCUUCCUGCUAGGUAACUAGCGCAUUUGAUGGGUUAGUUUGGAGUGUUUGGGCCCAUCCCUAGCACCACAGAAACAAGGCUGGAUAAUACUUUAUAAUUCAUACAGCUAUUUUGCUAUCAUCCGUUUUCUCACCUUACAAAAGCUUGUGACCAAAUUUUGUUGUGCCUUGUGCAUUGAAAUAAGAUUUAAGAAAUGAUGGUAGGUUGACUUUUGUCCCUUAAGUUUGUAAAUGGUGGGAAAUAAAAUUAAAUCUAGAAAGUGCCAUAUUCAUUUCAUUUUUUCCAGGUGCUGUUAAGCAUAACCUUUUACACUGCCUUCAAUGUAUUUUCAUCAAAAUUAAGCAAAACAUAUUAAUAAUAAAAAUCUCCAACAAGGAAAUUCUUGGGCAUGUGUAUGUGUAUGUAAUUUGGAGACCUGAUCUCUAAGUUGUGUCCUGGAAAGAACCUUGUUGAAAAUUAUUAUUCUUGCAUAUAUGAUUUAAAAGAUUCUAAUUUGCAUUUUAAUUUGAUAUACUAAUGAAUUUGUUGAUUCCAGGUAGGCCUUAAACCUGGUGGAUUCUUUGUCCUGAAAGAGAACAUUGCUAGAAACGGUAUUGUCUUUAUGACUCUUUGAUUUUUCUAAGCAUGUUUGUUUGCCCUCCCUCCCUCUCUCCCUCCCCUUUUUAAGAAGUGCUCAAGUUUUGUUUAAAGUAUUCCUCAAACUUUCUUAUGUUUUGGUAUUCUGUUGUAAAUUUUCGUGAAGCUGUUUUUUUUUUUUGGAAAUGCCGCAUGUCAUCUCACGUAUGAGAAGACAUAAAGUUGCUUUUUUGAGCUGAUAUUACUUUUUAACUUCGUCUUAUUAUGUAAUUAUCUGCCCUCUACAACUUUGAAGUAAAAUAAUAGUUUAUAAUAAUAGAUGUUCAAUUAAAAGAUAAAUGGAUAAAGGAAUUUUUAAGCUCCAUUUACACAAUCCAUUGCUUGAUACUAAGGGAAGCAGCAAGUUUUUGUUUUAUGCAUUCCUCAAACUUUCUUAUUUUUUGGUAUCUUGCGGUAAAAUUUUCAUAAAGUUGCUUUCUAGAGCUGAUAUAACUGAUUAACUUUGUUUUAUUAUGUAUUCAUCUGCCCGCUACUGCUUGAAGUAUACUAGUUAAUGUUUUAAAUGUUUAAUUAAGGAUAAAUGGGUAAAGGAAUAUUUAAGCUCCAUUGUCUUAUUUCGUUGCUUGAUACCAAGGGAAACAGCCAAAAAGUGUUGCAACUUAUAAUUCGCAGGUUCAGGAUGAGUUUCAUCUACUCAAAUGGGUAUGGGGUAUAAUUUUAUUAUGCCACCUAUUUGGGACACCUUUUGGUAACACUGUCUAUACAACUUUCUUCACUGAAAAUUCAUGAUGUAGUGGGGAAGUAGAAACAAUAACAAGAAACCAAAACAGUGAACAAAACCAGAACAAAGGUUAAAAUUGAGGUAAAACCGAAGUCGUAACAAGUUACAAGCCAGUAAGGCCAAUUGUCGAGCAUCUUAAGGUUAAAUAAACAAGUCACUCCCAUCUCAUCUGUAAUAGAUUGAUUCAAACCAGCUAGAUAACGAGAAGUCAACUGCUCAUUAGUCUCUUUCAAACCAACCCUAGGGAAAGGUCGUUGAAACCUGAAUGAAAUUUCUCAUUCAACUCCAUUUAAUCAGCAGCGGAAAUUGCCUCCUCAUCUUCAUUUUCAUGUGUUCCCAAGUGUUGAUUUUGGCUUGCCUGGAUGUGUUUGCUGCUCGUCAACUCUCUUCCACCAUUGAAGUGCACGCAGUCCCUUCAACUUAAGCUUCACAAACAGCACCUUUCUUUGUUCUGCCAUUGGUUUCUACUAAAAAUAAUUUUCGAAACUAUCUUUCUGAUCUGAAUAAUCUUUUGCAUGCAUCUUUUUCCGGAAGUCAUCUACCUUAAUUCUAACUCCACCACCAUUGAAGUCUAGGCAUGUAACAAUCAGCCUUCCAAUCUACCACAAACAGCACUAUUUGCUGGUCGAGCAUUAUGAAAGGGGUUUUUAUCCUCUCCAUAUUCAAUUUCAUCCUCAAGAACACCUACCGGUAAACCGAAAGGGUCAGUAUUGCCUUGUGGAUUCUCCAUACAGGCUCCCAUUGGUUCCUGUCACUUUAAAGCUUGCACAGCCUGCAACAAAUCUUCAAUCAUACCCAUCAACUCAGCCAGUUCUAUUUGCCGGUCUUGAUUUCUUUUCCACGUCCGCUAACAAGUCCUCUACCACGAUUAGCCAUGGUUUAUAAGCUAAAAUCCUAGUUCAACUUUAAGAUCUCUUCAUCUGAUACCACUUUGAUGUAGUAUGGAAGUAGAAACAACAAAAACAAAAGAAAAACAAUGACGAAAACCAGAACAAAGGCUAAAAUUGAUCUUAAGAUCAUAGUAGGAACAAGUUAAAGCUGUCUAAAGUUACAGCAGCUUUUAAUUGUAGCCCUUCGAUACAAACAACCCCAUCUAAUCCUAGCCAUUCAAACUAAUUAAAAAUGAUCACAUGCUAAUCACGACACAUGACUAGAUAGAAAACAUAAUUACCAACUUUUAACUAAAGUAAAACAUAAUAAAAUAACCAAUUGGAGAAAAAUUUAAGAAUGCUCUUGCAUAGCCUUGCCCAACAAUUAAACUUGCCUAAGGCUUGACUUAACCUAGGACUUAAGUCUCAUAAUUUGCUUGCAUUCAACUCACAAAAUACUUGGAUUCGAUCAGAUUAUUGUUGAGUUAUUCUUGAGCUCAAGUGACCAAUCGAGUCUAGUUCAAGUGUUUAUAUUACUCAGUCAAGAUAGUUCAAGAGCGUAAUCAACUUUUAAUUUUUUUAAUAUAUUUUAAAAUUCCAUGUAUGUAAUACUCAUAUAAAACUAAAUAAUACAAAGAUCAAUCAAGUCCAGCUUGGAGGUCUCAGACAUAUGUACUUUCCGAAAAAAUGUUCAAGUUGAGCUUCAGGUCUUAGUUUUGUAAUUGAGUCGUGUCAUCUUCAAGCUUAUCAUUUUGUCAACUUGAUUUGGCUCAGUUAUGCACCUAGACUUUAACCAACUCAAACUGACUAAAAAGGUUACUGAAUUGAAAGUUGAGACAGGGACAACUCAAACACAAAGUAAUCUGGAAUUCUAAAUAUCGAAUUCUUAAUCAGACUCAACUUCCAUUUUUGUAAUCUGCUGUGGUAUCUUAAAUGUGCUCAAAGUUCUUAAAGUUCUUAAAGUUUUUGUAAUCAGACAGGGACAAUUUUGUAAUCUGCUGUGGUAUCUUAAAUGGUGCUCAAAGUUCUUAAUCAGACUCAACUUCCAUUUUUUUGAUUCUGAAAAACAAAACCACCUUCACUGGCUAAAAUAAAGUGGGAAUCAAUUCAGUAUGGUACAAUUUAUAGAUAUGGUACAUUUAUAGAAAUGCUGAAUCAUUUGUCACUGGCUAACAUAUUAAUUUCAAUUCAGACAUCGAAUUUUGUGAUUAGAAAUGAAGCAGCUGAAUAUGGGUAUUAAGUGGAAGAAUUGGUUUAGCUUUUCAAAAGGAUAGGAUAGAAGCAGAAUUAUGCUUUGAGCAAAGAGAGAAGAAGGAGCCACUACGAAGCUCGACUUGAACAUCGCAAGCAAGUAAAAGUUCUUUAAGGCUUUUAAUGCUCUUUAUUUUUUUUUAAAUGAAAUUGUUAACAUUGAAUAGUAGAUGAUUGGGUAGUAGAAAUGAGAGGUUGGUGUUGUUAAUGCUUUAGGGGACUUAAAUUAGAAAGUAGUAGACUACAGAACUUUUAGAGAAAUCUAGGGGGAAACAGCUAUAUAUGUAAAUUCAUUAGAUUGGAUUUGGUAUCAGAAGAUUUAAGGGAUUUAUUCAUUUAUUUAUUUAUUUGGGGGUAAGAUGGGCAAUUUAGAGGCAUGAGGGGUUGGGGGGGGAGGGAUAAAAGUCCAAAAAUUAUAAGGAGAAAGAUAAGGAAGGAGGUUAGUGGUGGGAUGCAGGCUCUGUUUUGGAGAAGUGGCCUCAUGACAGGAAAAUUCAGACAAGUUAGGUGAAAAAAGUUAGAUAAGGUGAAGAGUUGGACUUUGUUUAAUGUGCUGGGCAAAGAUGGUGUGUAGGGGGUAGAAGGCUAGGACUUUGACACUAUUGUUGUCAGAAGGGGCUUUAUGUGUUGUUGAGGGGGUGAUCAUGGUAGUGAACUUGUAACUUUAGGAAGAAUCCAGAAGUGGUAACAUCCUACCCUAUCGAUCAAGGAUUCAUGAACUGGAUUCAAUUACAGAUGUUAAGCGUGAAAUUAGUUUGGAAAUGGGUUCGGUUGCAACUCAAUUAGGACUUUGUACUGCAGCAAUAACCAUUGGCAUUACCUGUAAUAAUAACUAAAAGAUUUACUUGAGCUUUCAGUUCUUCAAUCUCGUCUUGAAAAGUGCUCAAUGCAUCCCUUGUCUCAUCACUCAGGAUAUUAUUCAUCUCGGACAGUUCUCAUUAGACUGUCUCAAUUUCAUCAAUUCCUUCACGGGGAACCAUUUGAGCUUUUACUGUGGCCACUACGGCCUCUGGCUCAUAUCCUCUGAUGGUCCUCUAGUGCACUCCACGUGGUCAUCAUUUGUACACUUUAAAUCAGCACCUCUCGCUCGUGUUCUGAUACUAACUGUUACGAACUACACUAUUUCGCCUAAAUAUACAAUAGUCUAUGCGGCACUUGAGUGGACGCUUCCACGCAAGUCAACCAAUACUCGGUUAUAUCUAAUCCAACAUUAAUAAUAACAACAAAUCAGACUAAGAGAACUCGUAUCAAAAUCAAAAGGCAUACCGAAUGCUAUAUGUGUAACCACUGAGUUAUAAAAAGGAAAAGUGCUUUAUUAAUAUAAAAUUAAUUACAAAGAGAUCGAGAUAGGUCAUCGUCAGGCCAUAGGGACAGCCUUAUAUGAUUCACUACAAAUAUACCCUUACCAAUGAAGCAGGCUAACAAUCCGCUGAUUGUUCAUUUUCUAUAAAGAGUUUACGAGAUUUUAUAAGUAUUCUAUUAAUAAUCAUUACAAUGCUUGAAGUAAGGAUAUUUCUUUUCUAAAAGAUCUCCUUUCUAAAAAUUUGACAAGUAUUUGUGAAAGUAUCACCACGAGCCAUUACAUUGUUUGAAAGAGGAACAUUUCCCUUAGAGGUAUAAAAGACUCAAGCUCCAAGAUAAUUCUACGCUAUCAUAAUCCGAUACAAGGUUGGCUCAUGACACAAUGGCCAGCUCGUUCAUCCUUGUUAUAGCCGUUAGUGCACAGAAAAAGUUUUCUGUGAUUUGCAAUCCUGUUUUGUUGGUUUUAUUUUUCCUAGGCUAGAACUGUGGGAGUGAUUUUGUGAUGAGUAUAAAUAUCAUUUGUAACAGUUGUUGCAAUUGAUUUUUUCCCUGAUCAAUGAAAAGUAUAUUUCCUUUCUCUCCCGCAUGACUCUGUUUUCUUCUUCUUCAUUUUAGCCUUCUUUGCAGAAAUACUUUUAAGUUUCUUAAAAUCCUUUCAGGAACAAAGCAAAUGAAAGGUGCAAAUUACUGUGUUUUGUGGAUUUGGUGUUUAUCAAUCACCAAAUGAAGAUUAUUUUUAGCUCACUUCCAUGGUCUCUUGCUGGCCUGGAGAUACGGUAUACUCAGGUUUAAAGCAAAGGAAAUUGUGUGUUGGUUAUGUUGAUGUUUGGUGCCUGAUCUUUGCAAUGAGGAAGCUGAAAUUACAUUGAAUCUGGUUGCUUGGGAUAUUUGUUUUACUACAGGUCUUAUGCGAUGGUCAUUGGGAUUAAUAUGUUUCAAGCUACUGGUUUUUCUUAUCCACUUUUUGAUGGCUAUAAAUUAAGUCUUCUCAAAAGCUGACUUGAUAAGAGUACUUCCAUCCAGUCAUGCACGACCAACUUAUUGCAGUGGUCCUAUGAUUUAAUCAACUGGAUUGCCAUUAAGGUUACUAUUUUCAAGCCAUAAGUUUUUUCUGCAACGUGCUUUGCAGUUCUCAUGUGUCUAUUUAUUAUUUGCUCCAUUGACAACUCUUCAUUAUCCUUUUUUGAUCAAAAAAUUUAAAUUUUAUUUUUUAAAUUAAAAAUGUAUAUAUAUAUAUAUAUAUAAAUUAUUUAUAUAUUUCCUUCUACUUUCUCAUUGCCACAAUUGGACUAUAAGCAGCAAGAAAUUUUCAUUUUGGCCCAAUAGGAGCAAGAACUGAAAAAUACAUGUUCUUGAUUUUCUGCAAAAUACGAUUUGAAUCAUGCAAGCAUAAGUGUUGAAAGUGUAGAAAGUUCUAACCCUAACAAUACGGAAGUGUAGAAAGUUUACGGUUGAUUUAAGUCUCAUAUAAUAAACAAAUUGCAAGUCUACGUCGCAAUCUGAUCCAUUAUUUUUUAUAGGGCUUUUUGUGGUUAGAAAUCUACAAAUAUAAAGAAAAAAAAUUGUAAAAUUGCCAAUAAAACUAAUUGAUGUAUCGAUUUAGAUAAGAUAAUUUUGAGUAUAGAAAUGCUUUUCGGUAAAAGUUGUAGUCUAUAAACUUAAACAAAUAUUAAAUCAGAGUGCAGGAACAAUUAGAAUACUAAUUCCACAUAAUAGCACCUAUAAAUGUGAAAUUGUAGAUCCAAGAAUUUUUCAACUAAUUUCUUUGUAUUCAGUCAAGGGUUUUUUUUCGUCUAAUUCUUGUUGCUGGUGAAAUUGUAGACACAUCCCUCUCAUUUACCCUCAUGCAUCCAGUCAUGUCAAUUGCUGGUAAAAAAUAAUUGUAGCGAGUUGUGCACGGUGAAGUUAUUGCAGUUGGCCAUGUGACCCUUCAAAUCGACAAGCUACUAGUUUUUCUUGUAACGUGCUUUCCAAUUCCCUUCUAGUCAUCAUUACUCAAUUGACUAUCUUUUGGAUUCACACGUCCAAUUUGAAUAUGCAGGACAUUCCUUGACUUUUGAUUGCUUUUCCAUAUUAAUUGACAAAUGAUACUUGAAUAACAUAUUCCAAUGACCCAAGAUAUGGGACUUCCUAGUUGUCAAUUGCGAUGUCCAAAAUUGAAGACCCUGAAACUAGUGCACUGUCCUGGCGGAUUCAGAUCACUACUAACUUCCCAAUUCCAUGAUUAAGAUCACAACUAUGCAAAAUUGAAUCUGGCUGGUCCCAUUGGGCUUCCUCUUUUAAAACCUAAGUUUGAUUCCAGUCCUACUUAUAAAUAAUGUUAAGAGAUUUAAUUUUAAUGAAUAAUAUUUAAAUUAAAUCAUAAUUUUAAUAUAAUAUAAUUUACAUCUAAAUUUAGAUAUAUAUAAUAAAACUUAAGAGUUCAAAUCAAAUUACACUCUUUUAUCUGACCUACUCAACUGUUUAUAAAUUAAUAUAAAUAAUAUUUUUUACCGAUCCCACUUUAUAUAUAAAUUAAUAAUCUACUUAUAGAUCAAAAUUUUAUACACACAUAUAUAUAUGACUCAAUUAGGAAGUUUUAAUAAAAUAUGACUCUAAUGUUACUUGUUUCGUCUUGAAAUUGAUAUCUUAUUGACUUUAUCUCUAAUUUUUCUUAGUGCAUUACAAAGGUCUGGUGUAGUGUUCUCGUAUGGUAAGAGAAAAUUAUGCAAUGUGAUGGUUGCUUGAGUGCAUCUUUGCACGAGACAAGCUCUAGUAUAGAACUAUCAUCUUCAACUUCAUUUUCUUUAUUAUUUCUCAUGUCGUUCUCAAUAAUUUGCUUGUCACUCAACAACUUUGAAGGUGGCUCAUUUUCUCCUUGGUAGUUUAAAAGGUACUCAAUAUCUAUUUUAUCACAAUACUUCAACUAUUUGAUUAGAACAUGUAAUUGUUAAAUUUGUCUAUCAUGUGAGCGUUGAUCCAAAUUUUUUGAAGUCACGUUAUCCAUACACCUAAUUUUACAAUGUUGAAAACAAUUUGCAAUUGUACCAUUUGUUGACCAAGCUGAGAUUGCAAGAUUCAUUAUAUCCAAAACAUUUAUCUUUUUUGGAUUUGAGAUUUCAAUUUCAUAACCCUCUAAAAGAUUUCGAUAAAAUUGAAGAUGAUAAUGCAUCUCGAUAGAAUAAUAAUAAUUUGUAAUUCGAUAAUAUUCGUAUAAUCACAAUACAGAGUACAUGUAUUAAGUUUAAUGUUUUGAGGAAAAAAAAAAGAUAUCUAGAUAAAUUAAUUUUUUAUUAAUUAAUGUAUAAAUUAAUAAAUUAUUAAUUUAUUAAUUCAAUAAUAUCUUAAUUAAUUAAUAAAUUUUCAUGAUUCCAAAGGUAUUAAUUUAUAGAGAUUUUAUUAUUGUAUUUUAAGCAAGUGUUAGAUUCCUUUGUUUAACAUAUAGAUUAAUAAAAGAAGGAAAGCAAAGAUUGGAUAUCAAGCUUAUAUUGACAAUAUUCCUUUUUACUUUCUCAUUGCCAUAAUUGAACUAUAAGCAGCAAGAAUUUUUCAUUUUGGCCCAUAAGGAGCAAGAACUGAAAAAUACAUGUUCUUGUUUAUUGCAAAAUACGAUUUGAAUCAUGCAAGCUAGUAAUGAACAACCACUAGUUUCGGGCCUAAAGAAACCCAGAAUAGGCUAAUCAAAUAUUAUGCAAGAUAAAUAAUCAAUUGUAGUUCCGUCAGUGGAGCUAUUAAUUAUGCCAGCGAUCGCCACAUCACACUGAAUUUUUACUUGUUGAUGUUCCAUAACAGUGUAGGCAAUCUUCCAUAAGAAUCUGCUAGGACCUCUCAAUCUCUCUGAUCUGGUUUCUCCUAAAACAGAAUGUGUUGCUUGGCACCACUGUACAUGUUGAAGCUGCCUUUAUAAAUUAUGAUAGCAGAGGGGAAAAUUACGACAACCGACCCAUAGGCAGGUCUAAUACUGUGUUCAUAGAAAGCAAAAGCACGAAGUAGGUUGACUGUUUUGGUUCCUAUUUGACGUCACAUAUUCAAAUCCAAUCCCUUUCACACAGUUUUUUCUCUGAUCCUUAGCUCACGUUACCCCCUUUUCUCAAGGUUUUUAAGUUCUAACCCUAACAAUACACUAGAAGUGUAGAAAGUUUGUGGUUGACAUGAGUCUCAUAUAAUAAACAAAUUCUACCGUUCAACCCAAAUUGCAAGUUUACAUCGCAAUCUGGUCUUUUGGUCUUUUGUUUUCAAUAGGACAUUUUGUCGUUAGAAAUGAUCUACCGUCCAACCCAAAGUAUAGGUUUACAUUGCAGUCUUGUCCAUUGUUUUCAAUAGGGUAUUUUGUGAUUAGAAAUCAACCGAUAUAAAGAAAAGACAUGUAAAAUACUGUUAUCUAUAUACAGCAAGAAGGAUUACUAUGAGAUAUUUAUAAAAGAGAGAUAGCCGUUGAUUCACUCUACGCUAAUUUUUAUUUAAUAAAUUAAUAAAAUAAUAAAAAUGAAUAUAAAAUAAGAUAAUAAUAAAAGCACAUAAAAAAUAGUAUCUACAGCCUCUUCCUUCAAUCAUCUCUCUCCAUCUGCCAAAAUUUCUUUCUCUGUUUGAGAUGGAUAUCAAGUCCAUCCUUCAUGAACACCACUUGCUCUGUGAUGAAUAUGAUGAAUCACGGGGACUUUGUGAUAUGUGCAAUCAGGAAAUUUGUGGUAUGGCUUAUUGUUGUGAAAGAUGCGAGUUUUCAUUGCAUGAUUCUUGCGUUCAUCAACAGCUACCUCCUCAGAUAAGUGCACAUCCUUGCCAUCCCCAACACAAUCUUUCUCUCGUAGGGUCAAAUCACAUGGAUUACAUAUGUGAUAAAUGUUUCAAUCUUUCUCGAGGCUAUAGAUAUCAUUGCAAAGAGUGUCAUUUUAGCCUUGGGUAUCAAUGUGCUUUUUCAACUAAUGAUGAGAAAAAUAGACUCAAUGGCGAGACAUUUAAAAAAAUUGGUGGUUUUACCCUCUUUAAUUAUAGGAGAGUGAGAAAGUAUGAGUAUAUAUGUAGUUGGUGUGAGAACCAUUUGUCUGGAAUGUCUUAUGCUUGUUUUGACAAUGGUGCUUAUACCUGCUUCCACGAUUCCUGCUUAAUCAAAUUGCCUCCCAUAAUAUUCAAACACUCAUUUCAUCCAUCACACCCUCUUCAAUUAUGCAACAGUCACUUUGAUAAUGGGUUGUGCAAUGCUUGCAACCUACCAAUAUGGGAGUUCAGAAAAGCCUACUGUUGUAGAAAAUGUAAAUUUCACCUUCAUGUUCGUUGUGCUAAACUACGACCCAGUCUCAAGGUUGAAUUACAUGAGCAUGAUCUUACCUUUUUUCGAAUAAAAGCUAAUAGCGCAACCCACCUAUGCAGGGUAUGUGGUUUUAAUUUUGAUGCUAUAGGGGACGAAAGUGCUUUUUAUCGUUGUGUCCAUUGUAAUUUCAAUUACCAUUUCAAAUGUCUUACAAUACCACAUUCUACUUCGCACAAGUAUCAUAGGCAUGAUCUGAUGCUUAUGGAUUCAUUUAUAGAAGAUGUUUCUGAAGAAUAUUAUUGUGAUAUAUGUGAAGAAGAAAGAAAACCCAAGCACAGUGUUUAUUGUUGCAAGAAAUGCAAAUUUAUUGCUCACAUCGAAUGUGCACUCAAUAAGGUAAGGAGACAUUUACUCUCUCUCUGAAGAAAUUUAAUAAAUGUUUUUUUCAUUAGAUAAACUAUUAAUUAUUUGAUCAUAGGUCACAUAUAAUGUGCCCCUUAGAAAAUUUUGAUGCUAAUAUUUUUACUUCCCUAGGUUGUGGAUACGAAACUUGAUCAAAGUUCGACCUCUAGUCUGUUGGAUAGUGAAGCUUCAACAUUGAAGGUGAUGGAAUUGGAUCUUUUAUAUUGAUAUUAUUAUGAUGUUUUCACUUGCCAAUAAUUUGUUUUUUUGAAGUUUACAUCGCUUAAGGUCUUCUAUUCCUUGGAUUUAUAUAUUAUAAAGAUUGUUUAGUAAUAAACACCAUUUACAUUUUUGAAUAAAAUUCAAUGAAAAAAAACUAAAAAAUGUAAAUAAUAUAAGUAAAAAACCUCUACUUAUGUAGCAGUAUUCAAAAUUGAUUUGGAGACGGCUUUAGUCAAAAUAUUGAAUGUUGAAUAAAUUAAAAACACUUACGUGCAUCAUGUUAAUUUAUGAACAUAUAUAUUUGAUUAUUUAAUUAUUGCUUCUAUAUUUUAGUUUUAUCUUAAAUUUUCAUUUCUUGUACUUUUUAAACAAAAAUAAAGAGUAAAUUUUACUAUUAAUCUUGACCUAUUUGUAAUUUUUUGUUUUCAUUCAUCCAUUUUGAAUUUAUUUCAAAUCCAUUUGUAUAUUAACAUGCCAAUAAAAUAUAGAUGGAAUUUGUCACGUAAAUUUCACAUAUUAUGUGAAUUAUGUGAAUGUAGUCACAUGGACGUAACUGUAGUACUUAGAUGGCAAUUCCGUUCCAUAUUUAAUAGUGUAUUGAUGGAUAGAUGAAAUUAAAAUAAUUUCAAAAAGACAUAAAUGGAAAAAUUCGAGUUUGUUUAGUCAUGGAUGAAAAUAAAAUUAUGACAAUGUUAUAAACUAAGGAUGCACUUUACCUAAAAAAUGGAGGAAGAUUAAUAACUUUCUUCACUCAACUUGGUCGUGCAGGUGCAGAUUGAACAUUUUGAUCAUCAACAUCCCUUAAGCUAUAAUGGGGCAAUUGAACAGAAUGAAAGUCUUCUUUGCAUUGCUUGCCGCCAAGAAAUUUUUGAUCAACACUAUGCUUGUGAAGAUUGUAAAUACUACUUACAUGAAACGUGCACUACAUUGUUGUAUGAGGUGUCACACCCUCUUCAUUGCCAGCAUCCUCUCAAGCUUGUCACGGAUAUAGUUGAAUUCACAUGUCAUGGAUGUAGGGAACAUUCUGAUGGGUUUGCUUACAUGUGCCUUCCAUGUGAUUUCCACCUUGAUGUGAAAUGUGCUACCACUCCAAUCCCACCUAAAAAUGAUGGGCAAAAGCUGAAAGAGAUGGAGAAAGUUUCCAAGUUUUGCCCUUUCAACCAAAAUCAUAAGCUAGACUUCUUCAACCGUAGACCCAAUCUUAAAGAUUUGGCUUUGGAAUGCGAUGCUUGCAAGUUACCAAUCUUGGGUCCAGGUUAUACAUGUCGUGAUUGUUUCAAUAUCAAAAUUCAUGAAUCUUGUCUUGCAUUUAUUCGGGAGAUGCAACACACAUUUCAUCCGUUACACCCGCUUCAUCCACAAAUCGGCGAUUGGGAAAAUUGUUCUGCCUGUAGAUUUAAAAUCAUUGAAAGUAUCGGUUAUAGUUGUCGGCAGUGUGAUUUCCACCUUCAUCUUCAUUGUGCUAAUUCCCUGAAGCUGGCCUUAAAAGUUAAGUCUCACAUGCAUAAUCUUUAUUAUUUUGGACCAAAUUAUGAGAAAUCUUACCAAUUAUGUAACAAAUGCAAAAGUUACAUUGGUAAGGAACCUUUCUACUAUUGCGUGGAGUGCAAUAUGAAUUUGCACUUAAAAUGUGUUCCCAUACCAUGUUCAAUUAAAUCCAAAUGUCACAUGCAUCGUUUGACUCUUAAAGAUCAUUUUGUGGAAGAUGAUUCUGGAGAAUACUAUUGCGACAUCUGCGAAGAAGAAAGGAACUCAAAAAAUCAUUGCUAUUAUUGUGAAGAGUGUGCUGGACAAUUUGUUGCUCACAUCGAGUGCGCGCUUCUUAUAGUAAGUUUAUCACUAUCAUUUUCUCUGUAGAAUUUUUCUAUAUCAUAUUAUUGAAUUUUCUAAAGGAAAAUAAGAAUCUAAAUUACACAUCACAUGAUCGUAUCCACCAUCUCUUUGAUUGAUUGGACUUUAUUAAUGGUUAAAGUACCUCAUAGGUCCAUAUACUAUAGAUUUUUCGUUCAACUAAUCUUUUUUCCCAAAAUUGGUUAAUUUAAUCUCUGUACUUUGAGAUUUUAUGUAAUGGAGUCAUUUUACUUAACUUCAUCCAAAUUAACCAUUAGUGGUACUGGUGACGCACUGACAUGUCAGAUAAAAAAAAAUUGACCAUGUGGCAUUUUUUUCUUUCCUCCUUUUUCUUUGCUCAUAUGUUCAAAACUACAUUGUUUUAGAGUACUAUUUAAAGCGGAUUUAGUUUUUUAUUUUUCAUUUUCCUUUUUAUCCUUCUCUUUAGCUUUCUUCUCUCCCUAGAUUUCGACCCCUAAAUGCAAAUUCUGGCUAUCGAUCACUAGUAAUAUGAAAAUCUAAUAAAAAAUAAAAAAAUUAGUUUUUUGGCCUUAUUUCCCAUAAUUAGGAUAGCUUUUUCAAAAUCUAUCUCGAUUUUUCUAGAUCUAAAAUCAUAAACUUGUAAAAAAGAAGCUUGUUUCUUUCCAUUGCUGUGUCCUCAACUUGAUGUUAAUGAUCAAGGGUUGUGUUUUUCAUGUUGUAGGAUUUUGAAUUCGGAGAUGGAAAUUUUCAUGAAUUUUCCAUCUUGAAAGAUGCUGGCUCACCUAUUGAGAGUUCCUCUAUGGAUAAGUUGCUUUCCCAACCCCAUGCUGAAGUUUACUUGAACCAAAACAGAAUGGUAGUUAAGUCCUAUAUAAGUUAUUUUAAAGAUCUCAUCUUUUAUGCGAAAAUGAAUUUUAUUUUACGAAUAGUUGAAUGAAAGAAAAGUUUCACGAUUUUGUGGGUGCCAUUGUCGUUGCAGAAGUAUUGGGUGAAUGAGAAGUUAAACAAAUACUGCUUCAUGUUGUUUGCAAGAGAUCUUUCAAUCAGUUGGGUAGAAGAGCACCGUUAUUGGCGUUGGUCAUACCAAAAAGAAACAAACAGGUUAGCGUAGAUUUAUUAUCCAUUGAGAAUCCUUACUUCAUAGUUCUAGCUUGACAGCUUUCUUAAUCCACAAACUUUUGAUUUUGUAGCGAUGUGUUGAUUGAUGUUGUCGAACUUCUAAAGGUGUGUUGGCUAGAAAUGAAUGUGAAAUUCAAUGUAAAAAAGCUCUCACUGGGAACUUUGUAUGGAGUUAUGUUUGUGUUUAAGUUGACAGAUGAAGCAUAUGGAUGGGGAUGUCCAGUGAACUUUGGAUUCACUCUUCCAAAUGGGGACAAGGUUGAACGCAAGGAAAAUUUGAUGACCAAGCCGAGAGGAGUAUGGAUAGAAAUCCCUGUCGGAGAAUUUACAACUUCAUCCGAAAUUGUUGGAGAAUUACAUAUUUGCUGUCACCAAUAUGAUGAAUUGAAUUGGAAAGGAGGACUUAUUGUUAAAGGAGUUGCUAUUCUACCAAAGAAUUAAGUUAUAAAUUAGUAUUUUGUCAUAAUAAAUCUGAAAGUACUGUAGUUUUUUUGUUUGUUCAUAAUCUUGCAAAUUCUAAUAUGACAUGAACUUGAAAGGAACCAACUCAUCCAAUAAUCACCUCAACACUUGAACCAGUUUUCCGGUUCUCAUUAUACAAUAUAGGUUCCAUGCUAAAUGCAACAAACAAGCUCAUUGAUUUUUUUGAUAUUUUUUAUUAGAUUUUUUGACCACCAGUGACUAGUGGUUGGCUGUCGAAAUCUGGGUUUGGGGAUCAUAAUCUAGAAUAAAUUAUUGGAUAGAGAGCGAAAAAGGAAAGAAGGAACAAUGAAAAAAAAAACUAAAUGUCCUUUAAAUAGUAGGCUUAAAAUAACUAGUUUUGGACAAAUAAGAGAAAAAAGAAAAAGAAAAACCAUGUGAUCAAUUUUAUUUUUUUAGUUGAACAUGUCAACGUUAGCAUUUUUUGACAUGUCAGCUCGUCGUUAGCACCACUAAUAAUUAAUUUGGAUGGAGUUAGAUAGAGAGAAUCAAUAGUACAAAAUCUAGGUAAGAGGGACUAAAUUAAUCAGUUUUGGAUAGACAGACUAAAUUGAUAAAAAAAAAAAUCUUUAAUAUAGGUAUCUAUGAGGUACUUUGACCAUUAAUGAAUUCCAAUCAACCAAAGAGGUGAUGGAUAUGAUCAUGUAAUGUGUAUGUGUAAUUGAGAUUCUUAUUUUCCUUCAAAAAAAUUCAAUAAUGUAGUAUAAAAGAAAUCUAUAAAGAGAAAAAAUAAUUGUUCACGCCUCAACAUUUCCUGAAACCUUUUCAGCACUUUGAAGCUUUGUCCAUUAAUUAAUCGCCUUGUUUCAAGCAUGUUCUCAUAGUAACAAAAGUCUUUACACUGUAUAGAACCUUUUGUUUCUUUUUGACCUCCUGUAAUCUUGAGCAAGGCUGAUUGUGUAUAUAGUGGAGCAUAGUUGUGUACAUAGGGAGAUGCAUGCUUAAGCUACAGGGAUGGUUUUUGUUCACUUGCCUUUUUGUAUAUUGAUUUUGCUUAAGGCAUAAAGGUAUAGAAUUUCAAAAAAAAGAUAUAAAAUUGUGGUAUUAGCAUCUUGAUAGCCACAUUUGGAAUAAAAAGGUAGCAAUUAAAAGAAGCAUUUUAUCCUUAAUGAUGAGCAAGCUUUUUUUAGCCUUUUUCAUUUUUAUAUUCUCUCAAUAAUUUCCUUCUUUAAAUAAAUAAAAACAAUGUUGACAGGGCAUGAAGCACAUGCCAUUUUCUUGUUUUUGGUAUAAAGGCCUGAGGGAAUCUUUGUUUAGGUUUUGUAUUUAAACACACUCUCUCAUCAAGAGGCUAGUAGUUGAUCAUCUCUCUUUCUUCAUCUACCUAAAUUUCUUUCUUUGUUUGUUUGAGAAAACAAAGUAGAGACUAUUCUGCUAUGGGGAUAUUCUAUACUUGUUUUCGAUAGAAAUUUAGUACCUCCUCAAGUCCUCAACUGUCUUGGUGAUGCAAAAAGGGGGUUGUAGCUAGAAAUAAACCACAAAAAAUAUGCAAGCAAGGCUGUUGAUGUGAAUGAUUUAGCUUGGUUUGGGUUAUACAAGGCGUAACGAUUCUUUGAACGUCAAAUACACUUUUCUAUAUUUAAGCUUAUUCUUCAUAAUGUGUAGGAUUGUAGGGCAUUUUAUUCAAUUAUAUUUUGGUUAGAUUGUAGAGAAAAGAAAGCUAGAGAAAAAGACAACGGAGAGAAACAUUUUUUGACAAUGAUUCAAAAUUUAAUUUCAUUAAUAAGUUAAAGAAUUAUAGCAAACUGUCAAAAAGGUCAAAAAAAACUUUUUUCUGCUUCUUUUAUUCUCUCUUGGCUAGAAGAGAUGUGCAUUCUUGAACCAGUGAUUUGCAAAUAAGUGACUACUUUUCCUGUAUACCUUUGAGUUGAAUGACCAUGUACUUAUCAAUUAUGUAUAUUUCAACAAAUUUAUGUUAAUAUUCAAGUUUCUAAUAUUUGAACGAGUGUAUAUUUGAUGCAUUAAUAGUGUCUAUAAGAUACAUUGUCAGUGCAUUAAAUAUGAAUCCUAUUUAAAUAGAUUAAGAGUACAUAGUUAAGAAUUGCAGAGAGCUUAAUUUGAGAUAAUAGCUUUUUGUAUGAAAAAAGAAAAAGAAGAUUUGGCUUUUUUUUUUUAUUUGUUUUUGUUAAUUUUAUUAUGUCAGCUUGAUUUUAUGUCAACAACCUUGUCAAUUCAUUAUGGUUAGUAAUCAACAGUUUUAAUAACAAUGCUUCCUAACAUAAAGUUUAAAGGGGAAAAUAAGAGAUUGCAAACUCAAAACCUUGAUGUCUUUUAGGCUUUUCUUGUUUCUUUGUCCUUUUGUAUUUGUUGUUUUAGUUAUAAAAUUGUGGAAGUAGCAUCUUGAUUGCCACAUUUUCGAUAAAAAAGUACCAAUUUAAAAAAACAUUUUAUCUUUAAUGAUAAGUAAGUUUUCUUUGACUUUUUUCUUUUUCUUGAAAGACAAAGACAAUAGUAUUCCAUAAAAAAGGAUAUGUGUUAAUUAAAUUAUUUGAAGGCAAGAAAUUAAGAUUAACAUCAAUAUUCGCUUCCAAAUUCUCACUAUUAUUUCUUUCUUUAAAUAAAGAAAAAAAUAAUAUUGUUUUUGAUCAUUCAUUUGAUUAAUUAAUCUGAAAUUGUCGUUGUAUUAGUAAAAUGAGUCGUAAUCACAAUAUGCAUGCGAUGUGUUUUCAUUGUACAAGUAAUUAUUGUAUAACUAAAGCAAAAAGAAAGUAAUUGCUACAUAACAUUAUUUUACUUAAAGGGAAACAUUUAAUUAAAAAAAAGUAAUCCCAAACUUAAAACAUUUUUUAAACAAAACGCUCCCCUUCUUAAACUAAAGUGAGAAUCAAUUAAGUAUGGUACAGCUUAUAGAUACAUUUAUGCCACCAGUAAUGCUUUGUUUCAGAAUUAUCUUUCCUUUUUAGAAACAAUAAAGAUGAAUUAUAUAUUAAAAAAGAGAGGGAUAAGAGUAUUCCUUUACAACCAGACAAAAAAGACCCACGACUACAUCAAAAACAGCCAAUGGGGCUUAAAAAUUUGGGUAGACCAGUACUUACCUUAGGUCCUGCCAAGUAGUAUUAAAAAGAAAAAAUUACAAAAGGUAAGAAAACCAUAACAAAAGGACCUGUACAUAAUCUUUUCCUAGAAGAAAGAUCCAAAAAAGGGUUCAAUUAAUAUCCCUUAAAAAAAAAAAAGCAGUAUAAACGAAGAAACAUCAAUGGUUCCCAUGAAAGUAGCAGCGAGCAUUAUGUUGCACAACAAAAGUAAAUAAAGCAGGGGACAGAACACCUCACACUAGGUUAAUAUUCUUUUCCGGGGCUAGCAUGCUGUCGUUGAUCCGAAACAAAUCUGAUAUCAAUCACUUUUUGUCUUUCUUAAUAUCAAUCACUUUUACAUAGAAUUUAAUUUUAAUUUUACAUUUGAAUUGUUGUGCUAGGUUAUGGUCGUAGAGGGGUCAACUUGAUGUAAGUUAAGCAACUUGGAUUUACGGCAUAAAACUCAACUAAAUUCCAACAAAGAUUAGUUCCUAACCCAUAUAGUAAAUUUGCAUAUCACCCACAUUAUAAACUAAUCAAUUACUGAAAACAUGAAAUUACCACUAGUACGUGCUUGCUAAAUCUCAUAAAUAAAUCAUCUUAAUAAGCAAUAAUUAUGUGUGCGAGGGCUAAUUAUUGUAGUUAACAUUCCAUGAAUUUUACCUCAAAAUUUGUGUUAAUAUUCUAGGUUGUGAUCAAGUCAUAUGUUCAAGUUUCUAACAUUUAAAUAGACUAGGAGUACUUCAUGAAUGAAGGGGUUUAAUUUGAAGUAAUAGCUUCAAGUAUGGAAUAAGAAAAACAAAGAUUAUGCUGUUUUUUUUUCCUUUUUUUUAAUAUUUUCUUGUCUUAGGUUGAUUUUAUGUCAACACUCUUAUUCACUAUUUGGUAAAUUUGGACACGUGUAUUUCUGCAGUAAUGUUUGUGAAAUGGUUUGGACAGCUAUUUAUUUCAGAUGUGCUGAGAGGUAGUUUAAUUAUUUUUGUUGACUGAGUUGUAUUUUCAAAGGUUGGGCGAACUUGUUAAAGAGUCCAACUGGACCUAUUUAUCCCCAAAAUUGAGCUUAAUUUUGGCAUAUGGCAUGUGGCAUGCCGCAUUGCCAAAGCUCUUCAAGGAAGAGCACAAGCAAAACCAGAGGCAAUGCGACGAGUAAAGGCCAGAUAAAUAAGAAGGCUAACCAUAAUUUAACCAAAAACAAAAAUGAAAAAAGAAAGAAAGAAAGAUAGUACACAUCAUGUCAUCACUCAUCAAUUAGACAUCCCAUCGUCACCAACCCAGGGUCCUUGGUCAACUUCAUCCACAUACGUUGUCCAGUAAAAAUCACUCAAGUGUCUCGCAUUGCUCGAAAAGGACAAAAAGACUGCCACGUGCUACCUUACGGGCAAUUGCUACUAGAGUUCUCCACCGCCCGCUUGGUGUCGCCUGUACAGCCACAACCACAGCCACCACCAUUUGCAUUUCUCCUGAUUCAGAAUUCUUAUCACAUUACUACUGUUGGAAAAGUGUUUGACAAACAACUUUCACCUGGUAAGUUGGACUCACUAUAACCUUUAUUAUGAAAUAUUUUAUACGCAUCGCUUUUGGAUUACAAAGCAUUACAAGGACGAAUUAUAAAGCAUUUUAAUUCUCAUGGUUUUUUUUUUUUUAAAGAGUGAUUUUGGGUUCAACUUUAAGAAAUUGUCUGCCACUUGUUCAUUGUUACAAAACAGGGUCGGAAGAGAAGCAGCUUCAACAUCAUCCACUUGUUCAGUCAACCAAUAAUUAGCUGCUGUUUUCAUUAACCAAUUUACAUUUGAGAAACAACAAAAACAAUGGCAAAAGCACUUCUUUCCAUGAUCCUGGAGCAGCAGUUGGGUGGUUCGUUCAUUCCUCAAGAGAUAAAGCAUCAUGUCGGAUUGGCUGUAGGUCUUGAAGAAGAAAUCCAAAAACUCACCAGCAACUUUGACGCCAUUCAAGCUGUGCUUGAAGAUGCGAAAGGAUAAACCAAACAGGGCAUGCCUAACCCAAGGCGCGGAGGAUAAGGUAUACCGAUGUGGAUGCGGCCCAUAUCCUAAGCUGUUUCCCCACAGACCCCCCAACAGUGUCCCAUAACUCUAAUCCUACAUCCACCACGGAAGAAUAACAAGACUCCCAAGGAGCGGAGGACGGCAAUGGAGGCAGCUGGCUCCGAUUCCGAUGGCAGAGAAUUCAGGAACCCACAGGAAAUGUGGAGGGAGCAAAUUGGAGAUGCAGAUGAAGGAGAUAACCAUAAGAAGACUCAGUGGUACAGUGAAGGCGUUGCCUACUGGGAAGUAAGUCUUUCUUAACUCUGGUUCUUACAUUUGUAUGUGGGUACCAUUAGCUAACUCAUAGUAUAGUUAUUGGAUUCUUUGGUUGUGCUAAGAGAAGGGUGUGGAGGCAUCGGUAGAUGGGGUGUUGGGUGGAUUUGGGCAAGUAAAUGAGGCAGAUAUUAAGGGUAGUGAGGUUUUUCUCAAUACCCUUUUGCAUGAAAGAUUCGAUGGCGGUGGAAGAAAUCACCAUCUUGUUGCUCUUGGUACUUCUCUUUCACUCUCUGUGUCCUCAACUUUAUAUUGUUUUUAUGAAGUUAUAUACCCAUAUAUGUUCUGUUGAGGUAGUUUGGUUUAUGUUAUUAUUAUUAUUUUUUUUACACUAAAAAUCAACCUUAGGUUAUUAUGCGCCAUUAAAUGUGGAAGUGCAAAGUUGGUGAUGGGAUCCUACUUCAUUAGAAUGUAGCAUUGGUGGAAAACCUAAUUAACUAUAAAUUAAACAAAAAACAUAGUGGUGACAGCAGAAAGGGAUGUUGUGAUAGAUGAAAUUUUGAGUUAAAUAUCCGCAAUUAGUGCUUGAAACCGGAAACCAAUAUAACUUGAUAACACAACCAUGAAAAGUUUAUGUCCCAUAAUCCCACCCCAUAAAAGAAAAUAAAUAAAUAAAGAAGAGAAAGGCAUGGAAAUUUGCAUGAAUAUGCAUUUUCUGAAUUAUUUUGCAUGAUAUCUUCACCAAAAAUCAGUCUUAGUAGUGCAAGAAGCAUGUCAUGCAUUAGAGGUGUUGCUUUGAUUUAGAAUGCCAGCGUUUUAGGUGUUGCUCUUAUUUAGAAUGGUAUAAUGCAAUUGAGAAUUGGGUUUACUACAUGCUAUUUUGCUUAAUAAAAAACCAUCUUUAAGCAAUAUUCUUUUUUAAAUUUGGGAAGAAGCUUGCUGGGAGUUCUCUCUGUCUCUUAAGGGUUGUGUGCUUGUGGGGGGUGGGGGAUGGGGCACCCCUGGACCCAAUUUGAGGCUGUUGUGAGUGCUCAGAAUAAAGGAAAGAAAUUUCUGUGUUUAAGAUUGAAAAAUUACUUUCACAUUUCAUCAGCAGCGAAGAUGCUCUAUCUUGCUAAUAUUCUGGAACUUGUUAUCUUUUGAAAGGCAAAAAUUAGAUAUGUCUUCAGUAUGUUUUAUUACUAGGAGAUUGAUUCUUCGACAUGAUUAGGAUCUAUAAUUGCCUAUAUAUGAAGUUGGUCUUAAUACUUGUGAGUUGGUGGACUAUACUGGGGCAAUUGGUGGACUAUACUGGGGCAAUUGACUGAAAUCUUGCGAAGGGGAAUUGUAGGGGAAAUUAUUUAGGAAACUAAGCAGUUGGAGUUUGGCUUUAAUAUAAAGAUAUUUAGGUAACUAAGCAGUAAUGGUUUGGCUUUAAUAUGAAGAUAAUUAAGUGAUUUCCACAAGUUUUAUUUUAAGUAUUAUGAUAUAAGAUGCACUUAAGCACUUGGCUUUAUGAUUUGUGCAUGUAUCCCCUGCUAAAAGAGCUGGGUUUAAAUUACCCUCCCCUAAUAAAAUAAAAUAAAACAUGAAAAUUGAUGGUUGUGCCCUCAAACUUUUGCCUUCAUAUGGUUUAUGUUGGUGGAAUUAAAACAAACUCUUUUGAUGAUCUUAGUGCAGAAGAAUCUGGUACAUUUUAGGGCUUAGCAUACUAAAUUAAACUAUGUCAUAAUUCUCAAAACACUGCAAUGCUGACCUUUAUUUCAAGUCCAUACAUUGAAGCACUAGAAAUACCUGCAAAUGGUUCUAAAGCAUACUUAAAAUAUUGCUGCAGUACUGAUCUGUUUGGUAUUUCAUUUUUCUUGAUGUUUUUAAUUCUAAUUGAAAAUCAUAAAUCUAGUUGACAUUCUGAGCUCUUAGUUUCUAUGUUAAUUUAACAUACUGCAGAUUGUGGUUCUGGCAUAGGGAGAAUAACCAAGAAUCUUCUCAUAAGAUAUUUUAACGAGGUAAGGUCAUUUUUCUCUUUCUAUUAGCAUAUUUUUAAUAUUUCUGACAUUUACCAUCUUUGCAGUUAAUUGAUAACAUGGUUCAUAGUGCAUAAUUCUUACUACCUAAAGAAUUUCUCUGUUGUAUUUGAAUGAAAAGCAAAAUUGGGUAGUGCCUUUUAAAAAAUUCAUGCAGGACAUGAGGAGGGUACCCGUUAAUUUCAAGGUACCUAAACCUUAACCCUAUAAAAAAUCAAAUAUCUAAACUCUAUUAAUUACCUGAAUAAUUUUGAAAGUUACUACCCUAACCUUAACCUUAACCUUAAUACAUUCCCACUACCCUAUAAUUACCCUAACUCGUUUAAAAACCCGAUUAGAUAAAAAAUUUAUUAAAAUGUUCUUCAUUGGUACCCAAUUACUCAAACCCGAACCUGUAUUCAUAUACAAUAAUAUUUCUUCUACAUAGUACAUAUAAUUAACUACUAAUUAAAUUAAUAAAAACACAAAUAAUAAAAUUUAAAUUUAAAUAAUCAAAAACUAUAAAUUGUUUAUAAAUGAACAUAAUAUAUAAUAUAAAUCAAUAUUAUGUUAUUGUUUAAUAGUUAUUAACUUAUAUAAUAGUAAUGAUAUUCUUUAUAAAUGAAUAUAAUAAAUAAUAUAAAGUAUAUGUAUUAAAAGAUAUUACAAGUUAUAUACUAUAAAGUGUGUAUAUAUAUAUUAUAAUUAAUAAUUUUAUAAGUUAUAAUUUUUAUAAUGUUAACAAAAUAUAAAAAGUAAAUACAUUUAUUUUUAAAGUAUAUAUAUAUAUAUAUUAAAAGUAUUUUAGUGUAUAUAUAUAAUAGUGAUUAUAUUCUUUAUAAAUGAAUUCAAUAUAUAUAAAGUAUAGAUAUUAAAGACAUUACAAGUUAAUUAAUAAUCAUAGUUUCAUUAAUUAAUUUAAUUAAUUAUAUGAGUUUGUCCUUUACUACAAGAAAUUAAAAAAAAUAGUUAAGUUUCAAAACUAUUCUAAUCUCACAACUUCUUUUUAGAUAAUUAAGUUUAUAUAUAUCAAAGUAUCUAUAUUAUAAUUAAUAAUUUGUAAGUUAUAAUUUUUGUAAUGUUAACACAAAAUAGAAAGUAAAUAUGGUUAUAUUUAAAGUGUGUAUAUAUAUACACACACACACUAAAAGUGUUUUAUUAUAUGUAUAAUAAUAAUUAUAUUUUUUAUAAAUGAAUCCAAUAUAUAUAAAGUAAAUAUAUUAAAAGAAAUUACAAGGUAAUUAAUAAUCAUAGUUUUAUGAAUUAAUUUAAUUAAUUAUAUGAGUUUAUCCUUAAUUAUAUGAAAUUAAAAAAAAUAACUAGGUUUCAAAACUAUUCUAAUCUCACAACUUCUCUUAAGCUUUGCAUAUUAUAAGUUUAUAUAAACAAAAGUGUAUAUAUUAUAAUUAAUAAUUUUAUAUGUUAUAAUUUUUUUUAAUUUUAAUACAAAAUAGAAAGUAAAUAUAUUUAUAUUUAAAGUAUAUAUAUACUAAAAGUAUUAGUAUAUAUAUAAUACAGUAAUUAUAUUUCUUAUAAAUGAACUCAAUAUAUAUAAUGUAUAUAUUAAAAAACAUUUCAAGUUAAUUAAUAAUUAUAGUUUAAUAAAUUAAUUUAAUUAACUAUAUAGUUUUGUCUUUAAUUAUAUGAAAUUAAAAAAAAUAGUUAGAUUCCAAAACUAUUCUAAUCUCAAAGACUCUCUUUAAGUAUAUAUAUUAUGAGUUAUAAUUUUUGUAAUAUUAAUACAAAGUAAAAAGUAACUAUAUUUAUAUUAGAAGUAUAUAUAUAAUAGUAAUUAUAUUCUUUUGUAAUAUGAUAUGAUAUUCAUAUUAUUUAAACAUAAUUAAUAAUCUAAUAAUUUUUUAAUUGAAAUAUUUUAAUGUAAUCACAUUAAUAAUUUGAGUAACCAGACUUUUUAAUAUAUUUGUCAGCUUUUAAUAAAUAUAUUAAUGUUGAUUAUUUUUAAUUUAAUCAUUUAAAUAACAACAAAAUAUAUAUAAACAGGUAUUGGGAUCGAGUUCGAGGUGGGUACCCGUGUAACUUGAAUAGUAACAUAAUCGGGUUCAGGUAGCGGGUACCCAAGAGGUACUACCCCGAACCUGAUAUGGGUAGUGAAAUCACUAUCCGAACCCGUCCUAAACUUGAUUAUAGGGUAUCUUAAUCCGAUAUAACCNUAUAUAACAGUAAUUAUAUUUCUUAUAAAUGAACUCAAUAUAUAUAAUGUAUAAAUAUUUAAAAACAUUCCAAGUUAAUUAAUAAUUAUAGUUUUAUGAAUUAAUUUAAUUAACAAUAUUGGUUUGUUUUUAAUUAUAUGAAAUUAAAAAAAAUAAGUUGACAAACUACUUUAAUCUCACAAUCUCCUUUUAGGUAUAUAUAUUAUUAUGAGGUUAUAAUUUUUGUAAUGUUAACAUAAAAUUGAAAGUAAAUAUGUUUAUAUUUGAAGUAUAUAUAUAAUAGUAAUUAUAUUCUUUUUAAUAUGAUAUGAUAUUCAUAUUGUUUAAACAUAAUUAAUAAUCUAAUAAUUUUUAAUUUAAAUAUAUUAAUAACAUCACAUUAAUAAUUUGACUAACCAUAUUUUUAAUAUAUUUGUCAGCUUUUAAUAAAUAUAUUAAUGUUGAUUUUUUUAAUUUAAUCAUUUAAAUAACAACAAAAUAUAUAUAAACAGGUAUUGGGAUCGAGUUCGAGGUGGGUACCCGUGUAACUUGAAUAGUAACAUAAUCGGGUUCAGGUAGCGGGUACCCAAGAGGUACUACCCCGAACCUGAUAUGGGUAGUGAAAUCACUAUCCGAACCCGUCCUAAACUUGAUUAUAGGGUAUCUUAAUCCGAUAUAACCGGGUUGGAUACCUGUGGGUAUCUUAUAAUAGGGUAUGCAUUGCCAUCCCUACACAUUAAUAUGUAAUUCCAAUACAGUGAACAUGAUGUGGAACAUGGUGGACUUUUUCUUUUUCCUCUCUUUUUCUUUCAUCGAAUGAUAUGAAUCAGUGACAUAGUAUUAGUUGGAGCUACUAUCUUAAUAAAGCUGCAUAGUACUUUGUGAUAGCUAUGCUUUUGGACCCCUCUUCCCUUUACCAUUCUCCAGGUUGAUCUACUUGAGCCAGUUUCGCAUUUCUUAGAUGCUGCCCGUGAAAGUUUGUCUCAGGAAUAUUUUGUAGCCUCUGAUGCGCACAAAGCAAAUAAUUCUACUGUGUCUCCCUUCAGGUCAUGUACUUCAAGACUACAUUCACACAUGGAUACAUGCUUCUUGAUGUCUUGAAGUAUUCAUAACUAUGGUUAAGUCCAUGUAAGCUAUGUAUUUCCAACUUUUCACGUUUCCCUAUAUUGCGGAUGUAGCCAUGUAAUUUGCACCUCAAGCAGGCAUGUUGUUUGAGUACAAUCCUGGGAAAAACUUACAGAAGUUAAGGUAAACAUGUUAAAUAUGGGUUUGCAUCUGGAACUCACAUUUGAAUCUGGGCAACAUAGUCUGUACUCUGUAGGCGGCUGGAUUCAAGUAAAUUUUUGCAAACAAUUAUUUACUCUUUUGUGUGUGUUGGGGUGGGGGGGGUAGGGGACAGCAUAUGGGCUAGUGAAUGAGCCCUUUAAGUUGGUGAUAUAUGUGCUUGUCUUCUUCUGAUGCUUCUGGCUGUUAAAUUUUACUUUAUAAAACAGAAAUUUGACGACCAUUUUUUUUUUGUCUUUUGCUUUUUCAGGAGUUCACCCCUGAUGCUGGAAGGUACAAUGUUAUUUGGAUUCAGUGGUGCAUUGGUCAUCUCACAGAUGAUGACUUUGUCUCAUUUUUUAAGAGAGCAAAGGUGAAUAAAUCUUCUUCUUGAGACAGAACUUACUUUUUAUUUGACAUGUUGUGCUGUGUGGAAGUGCAUGGAAAGAUCAAAAUUAUGUGUUGAAAUUUUCUUGCCUGCUGUCUACUAUACAUUCGAAGUGCCUUGUUCUGAUUUUUGAAUUAUGAACUGUCAGAUCAUUGCAAUGGUAUCUCAAAUUUUCCUUUUCCAAAUUUAUUGCUUCUAGCUUUCUCUCUUGUAACUUCUUUUAAACCUUCUCACAGCUAUAGGAAUUAAGGUUGUCUAGCGAACAUAACAUAGCAAACACCGGAAGGAUGAUAUCGUCAAACUCUUUUUUCUUUUUGUCCUUUCUUUUUGCAAUGUGUCGUGUUGUUCAUUCUAUUCUUCUUCCUGCUAGGUAACUAGCGGAUUUGAUGGGUUAGUUUGGAGUGUUUGGGCCCAUCCCUAGCACCACAGAAACAAGGCUGGAUAAUACUUUAUAAUUCAUACAGCUAUUUUGCUAUCAUCCGUUUUCUCACCUUACCAAAGCUUGUGACCAAAAUUUUGUUGUGCCUUGUGCAUUGAAAUAAGUUUUAAGAAAUGAUGGUAGUUUGACUUUUGUCCUUUAAGUUUGUAAAUGGUGGGAAAUAAAAUUAAAUCCAGAAAGUGCCAUAUUCAUUUCAUGCCACCUUGAGUCCCUACUCUCCUGCUUCCCUUGCUGCAACCUUUUCUUUUUUUCCAGGUACUGUUGAGCAUAACUUUUUGCUCUGCCUUCAAUGUAUUUUCAUCAAAAUUAAGCAAAACAUAUUAAUAAUAAAAAGCUCCAACAUGGAAAUUCUUGGGCAUGUGUAUGUGUAUGUAAUUUGGAGGCCUGAUCUCUAAGUUGUGUCCUGGAAAGACCCUUGUUGAAAUUUAUUAUUCUUGCAUAUAUGAUUUAAAAGAUUUUAAUUUGUUCAAGUUUUGUUUAAGGCAUUCCUCAAACUUUCUUAUGUUUUGGUAUUCUGUGGUAAAUUUUCAUAAAGUUGUGUUUUUCUUUUUUGAAAUGCCGCAUGUCAUCUCACGUAUGAGAAGACAUAAAGUUGCUUUUUUGAGCUGAUAUUACUUUUUAACUUUGUCUUAUUAUGUAAUUAUCUGCCCUCUACAACUUUGAAGUAACAUCAUAAUUAAUAAUAAUUAAAAGAUAAAUGGAUAAAGGAAUUUUUAAGCUCCAUUUUCUCGUUCCAUUGCUUGAUACCAAGGGAAGCAGCAAGUUUUUGUUUUAUGCAUUCCUGAAACUUUCUUAUUUUUUGGUAUCCUGCUGCAAAAUUUUCAUAAAGUUGCUUUCUAGAGCUGAUAUUACUGUUUAACUUUGUUUUAUUAUGUAUUCAUCUGCCCGCUACUGCUUUGAAGUAUACUAGUUAAUGUCUUAAAUGUUUAAUUAAGGAUAAAUGGGUAAAGGAAUAUUUAAUCUCCAUUGUCUUGUUUCAUUGCUUGAUACCAAGGGAAACAGCCAAAAAGUGUUGAAACUUAUAAUUCGCAGGUUCAGGGAUGAGUUUCAUCUACUCAAAUGGGUAUGGGGUAUAAUUUUAUUAUGCUACCAAUUUGGGACACCUUUUGGUAACACUGUCUAUGUACAACUUUCUUCAGUGAAAAUUCAUGAAGGAAAGUUGACCUAGUGAUGUAGUGCGGAUGUAGAAACAAUAACAAGAAGUCAACUGCUCAUUAGUCUCUUUCAAACCAACCCUAGGGAAAGGUCGUUGAAAGCUGACGUGUACUCCUCAAUGGACAUACUAUUUUGCUUGAGUGAAUGAAAUUUCUCAUUCAACUCCAUUUAAUCAGCAGGCAAAAAUUGCCUUCUCAUCUUCAUUUUCAUGUGUUCCCAAGUGUUGAUUUUUGGCUUGCCUUGAUGUGCUUGCCGCUCUUCAACUCUCUUCUACCAUUGAAGUGCAGCCCCUUCAACUUAAGCUUCACAAACAGCACCUUUCUUUGUUCUGCCAUUGGUUUCUACUAAAAAUAAUUUUCGAAACUAUCUUUCUGAUCUGAAUAAUCUUUUGCAUGCUUCAUUUUCCGGAAGUCAUCUACCUUAAUUCUAACUCCACCACCAUUCAAGUCUAGGCAUGUAACAAUCAGCCUUCCAAUCUACCACAAACAGCAUUAUUUGCUGGUCGAGCAUUAUGAAAGGGGUUUUCAUCCUCUCCAUAUUCAAUUUCAUCCACAAGACCACCUACCGGUAAACCGAAAGGGUCUGUAUUGCCUUGUGGAUUCUCCAUACAGGCUCCCAUUGGUUCCUGUCACUUUAAAUCUUGCACAGCCUGCAACAAAUCUUCAAUCAUACCCUUCAACUCAGCCAGUUCUGUUUGCUGGUCUUGAUUUCUUUUCCACAUCCGCUAACAAGUCCUCUACCACGAUUAGCCAUGGUUUAUAAGCUAAAAUCCUAGUUCAACUUUAAGAUCUCUUCAUCUGAUACCACUUUGAUGUAGUAUGGAAGUAGAAACAGCAAAAACAAAAGAAAAACAAUGACGAAAACCAGAACAAAGGCUAAAAUUGAUCUUAAGAUCAAAGUAGGAACAAGUUACAGCAGCUUUUAAUUGUAGCCCUUCGAUACAAACAACCCCAUCUAAUCUUAGCCAUUCAAACUAAUUAAAAAUGAUCACAUGCUAAUCACGACACAUGACUAGAUAGAAAACAUAAUUACUAACUUUUAACUAAAGUAAAACAUAAUAAGAUAACCAAUUGGAGAUAAAUUUAAGAAUGCUCUUGCAUAGCCUAGCCCAACAAUUAAACUUGCCUAAGGCUUGACUUAACCUAGUACUCAAGUCUCAUAAUUUGCUUGCAUUCAACUCACAAAAUACUUGGAUUCGAUCAGUUUAUUGUUGAGUUAUUCUUGAGCUCUAGUGACCAAUGGAGUCUAGUUCAAGUGUUUAUAUUACUCAGUCAAGAUAGUUCAAGAGUGUAAUCAACUUUUAAUUUUUUGAUAUAUUUUAAAAUUUCAUGUAUGUAAUACUCGUAUAAAACUAAAUAAUACAAAGCUCAAUCAAGCCAGCUUGGAGGUCUCAGACAUAUGUACCCUCCCAAAAAAUGUUCAAGUUGAGCUUCAGGUCUUAGUUUUGUAAUUGAGUCGUGUCAUGUUCAAGCUUGUCAUUUUGUCAACUUGAUUUGGGUCAGUUAUGCAUCUAGACUUUAACCAACUCAAACUGACUAAAAAGGUUACUGAAUCAAUAGUUGAGACAGGGAGAAUUCAAAAACAAAGUAAUCUGGAAUUCUAAAUAUCCAAACUUAACAACCUAAACACCUUUAAAUGACAAGUGGGCAGUUAUACCCCUUUUGCAGUAAAUGCAUAAUUUCACUUGACUUGUCUUGCAUGUGGGGAACUUGUCAGUGGAGUUGUUCAGUGGCAACAUGAGUUUCACUGAGCUAUCACUUGUUUGCAGGAUUUGUUUUGGAUAAAGAAGACCGAAGCAUCACCAGAUCUGAUUUAUACUUCAAGGACCUAUUUCGUCGGUGUGGAUUGCACCUGUAUAAAAUAAAGGUUAUGGCGGUAAAGGGGUCAACUUGACGUAGUUACGCAACUUGGACUUACACCAUAAAAUUCAACCAAAUUCCAACAAAGAUUAGUUGCCAACCCAUCUAGUUGUGUCUGUUACACAUAACCUUUGACUUGCAACAUAACAAUCCCAAGAUGACACAUCUAAAACUGAUAAGUUUAUAUAGAUCAUGCACUAAUAGCCUCAUAUGUUGCCAUUGUCUUAACAACUAAGUCUCUAAGCAAACAUUCAAAAAUUUAGAUCUUGAAACGUUAAAUUACAAGGUCUAGCUAAAAAUCCAAUGAUAGGUGCGGGCUUUAGACGAUGAGAGAGGGCUUCUCCUAUUGUGAAGCCCUCGUUCCAUUGACUUUCAGAUGUGCCCCAAGAACAUAACUUCAGUGAGAGGCGGUGAGUGAUCUAUAUUGUUUGAUAAGUUUUAGAUAUCAUAUCAUCUUUUGUAUCCUUUUAUUCUUAUUUGAUGUUGCUGAGUUGAAUCGAUAAGGGUGUGAUUUCUAGUUGCAUGUUCGAAGUUCCCAUUAGAAAUGGGGGCAGGUUUGGUUUGCAAUCCCCCCACUUCAGUUUAGGGUUUUCAACUAUCAUAAUGUAUCCUUCCUUUUGUUAUUGAUUUGUUUAUUGUUUUGAAAACAGGACCAGAAAGGACUCCCUGAGGAAUUGUUUGCUGUAAAGACGUAUGCUUUAACAACUGAAGGGCCAAAGAAGGUUCUUAAGACAAGAUCCAAGGCGCAAGCCAACAGACCUGGCAUCAUCAAAUGAUUUGUUGCCUCUAACUUCUUGCAUUGUUGUAGGAGCACUCAAACUUUCUGGUGCUUCCUAUGUAAUUUAUUAGUGUAUUACCUCAAAUUGUUUACUUUAUAAGCUCUCUGUGGACAAAUUUUGUCCUUUUUCGUUUGAAGCUGUAUAUAUAUCUCUGAUAUACCUUUGAGUUGAAUUUAUAAACAUAUAUACUUAAUUUUUUAAUUAUUGCUUUCAUAUUUUAAUUUUAUCUUAAAUUUUUAUUUUUUUUACUUUUCAAACAAAAAUAAAGAGUAAAUUUUAGUAUUCCUUUUUACCAAUUCUGUAAUCCUUAGCCUAAUAAUAUUUUACACGUAUAUUUUUGUUCCUAUUCGCAAGACCGGCCCUCUCUCAUAUUUUUGUGUUAUGUUCCAAACGGUGCCGUUUGGCACCUUGUUCCUUACAACCCUAACUAUAAAUUCAUUCUUUUCUCUCUUACUUCGCUUCAUUUUUCCCCUUCUCUCUGAACCGUCGGUGGCUCCCUCUCACAUCUCUCUAAACCAUCAGUUCAUUUCCUCCUCUCUUUCUCUUUCGGCUGGAUGUAAUGAGAAUCUCCCAACCCCAGAAAAAGGAAAUCAACUUUCUCUCCCUCACACUGCCAGAACCUUCCUUUCACCCUCACAAAUCAUUCCCCAACCGAACCCAUUUCCCAGAUCUCUUUCUUUGUAAGCAUUGGAUUUUUGUUUUGGUGCUUUUUUGCCUUUUGGUUGUGGUAUCCGGUUGCUAGAUUAAAAAGUUAGAAAUUUUUUUGCUCUCUUCUGGAGAUUUUUGUUGAAAAAGCCCCUCCUUUUGUGAAGAUUUCUCUUUUUAUAUAUAGAGGCCGAAAAUUCUCUCCUUAGUAUUCGGUCGGCCAUUGAUUCUCUCCUUAUCAGGGUUAUCCUAAUUUUCAUUGAAUAAAAAUGAAAAGGAAAGAUAGACUUCUAAGAUAAUAAAAACAAAAAUAAAAUAAUAAUAAAAGUGCAUAAAAAAAUAGUAUCUACAACUUGAGGGAAUCUAUGUUUAGUUCUCAUAUGUAGGUUUAAAUUUUUUUUUCUUUGUUUGAGAUGGAUAUCAAACCCUUUCUUCAUGAACACCACUUGCUCUAUGAUGACUAUGAUGGAUCAGAGGCACUUUGUAAUAUAUGCAAUCAGAAAAUUCGUGGUAUGGCUUAUUGUUGUGAAAGAUGCAAAUUCUCAUUGCAUGAUUCUUGUGCUCAUCAACAGCUACCUCCUCAGAUAAGCGAUCCUUGCCAUCUCCAACACAACCUUACUCUCGAAAGGUCAAAUUACAUAGAUUACAUAUGUGCUAAAUGUUUCAAUCUUUCUCGAGGCCAUAGAUAUCAUUGCAAAGAGUGUGAUUUUAGCCUUGGGUAUCAAUGUGCUUUUUCAACUAAUGAUGAGAAAAAUAAACUCAAUGAUGAGACAUCUAAAAAAAUUGGUGAUUUUAUCGUCUUUAAUUAUAGGAGAGUGAGAAAGUAUGAGUAUAUAUGUAGUUGGUGUGAGAACCAUUUGUCCGGAAUGUCUUAUGCUUGUCUUGGCAGUGGUGCUUAUUUCUGGUUCCAUGAUUCCUGCCUAAUCAACAUGCCUAGCAUAAUCUUCAAACACCCAUUUCAUCCAUCACACCCUCUUUCAUUAUGCAACAGUCACUUUGAUUAUCGGUUGUGCAAUGCUUGCAACUUACCAGUAUGGGAGUUUAUAAAAGCCUAUCGUUGUAGAAAAUGUGAAUUCUACCUUCAUGUUCAUUGUGCUAAACUACGACCCAGUCUUAAGGUUGAGUUACAUGAGCAUGAUCUUACUUUUUUUCGAAUAAAAGUUAAUAUCGCUUCCCACCGAUGCAGGAUAUGCGGUUUUGAUUUUGAUGCUUCAGGGGAUGAAAGUGCUUUUUAUCGUUGUGUCCAUUGUAAUUUCAAUUACCAUUUCGAAUGUCUUACAAUACCACAUUCUACUUCACACAAGUAUCAUAGGCAUGAUCUCAUGCUUAUGGAUUCAUUUAUAGAAGAUGUUUCUGAAGAAUAUAAUUGUGAUAUAUGUGAAGAAGAAAGAAAACCCAAACAUAGUGUUUUUUGUUGCAAGAAAUGCAAAUUUGUUGCUCACAUCGAAUGUGCACUCAAUAAGGUAAGGGGACAUUUACUCUCUCUCUCUAGAGAAAUUUAAUAAAUAUUUUUUUAUUAGAUAAACUAUUAAUUAUUUGAUCAUAGGUCACAUGUAAUGUGCCCCUUAGAAAAAUUUUGAUGCUAAUGUUUUCACUUCCUCAGGUUGUAGAUACGAAACUUGAUCAAAGUUUGACCUUUAGUUUGUUGGAUAACAAAGCUUCAACAUCGAAGGUAAUGGAAUUGGGUCUUCUAUAUUGAUAUUAUUGUGAUGUUUUCACUUGCCAAUAAUGUUUUUUUUUUUAAGUUUACAUCACUUGAGGUCUUCUAUGAUUCUUUGGAUUUAUAUAUUAUAAAGAUUUUGUAGUAAUAAACACUAUUUAUGUUUUUGAAUAAAAUUCAAUAAAAAAAAUAAAAAAUGUAAAUAAUAUAGGUAAGAAACCUCUACUUAUAUAACAGUAUUCAAAAUUAAUUUGGAGAUGGCUUUAGUAAAAAUAUUGAAUGCUGAAUAAAAUAAAAACACAUACUAGCAUCAUGUUAAUUUCUGAAUAUAUAUAUUUGAUUAUUUAAUUAUUGCUUCCAUAGUUUAGUUUUAUCUUAAAUUUUCAUUUCAUUUACUUUUUAAACACAAUUAACAAGUAAAUUUUACUAUUAAUUUUGACCUAUUUGUAAUUUUUUGGUUUUCAUUCACCAUUUUGAAUUUGUUUCAAAACCAUCUGUAUAUUAACAUGUCAAUAAAAUAUAAAUGAAAUUUGUCACGUAAAUUCCACAUAUUAUGUGAAUUAUGUGAAUGUAGUCACAUGGACAUAACUGUAGUGCUUAGAUGGCAAAUCCGUUUCAUAUUUAAUAGUGUAUUGAUGGAUAGAUGAAUUUAAAAUAAAUUUAAAAAAACGUAGAUGGAAAAAAUCGAGUUUGUUUAGUCAUAAAUGAAAAUAAAAUAUUAUGACAAUGCUACAAACUAAGAAUGCACUUUACUUAAAAAAUGGAUGAAGAUUAAUAACUUUCUUCACUCAACCUGGUUGUGCAGGUGCAAAUUGAACAUUUUGAUCAUCAACAUCCCUUAAGCUAUAAUGAGACAAUUGAACAGAAUGAAAGUCUUCUUUGCAAUGCUUGCCGUCAAGAAAUUUUUUAUCAACACUAUGCUUGUGAAGAUUGUAAAUACUACUUACAUGAAACGUGCACUACAUUGCCGUAUGAAGUGUCACACCCUCUUCAUUGCCAGCAUCUUCUCAAGCUCUUCACGGAUAUAGUUGAAUUUACAUGUCAUGGAUGUAGGGAACAUUCUGGUGGGUUUGCUUACAUGUGCCUUCCUUGUGAUUUCCAACUUGAUGUGAAAUGUGCUACUACUCCAAUCCCACCUCAAAAUGAGAGGCAAAAGCUGAAAGAGAUGGAGAAAGUUUCCAAGUUGUGCCCUUUCAAUCAAAAUCAUAAGCUAGACUUCUUCAACCGUAGACUCAAUUUCAAAGAUUUGGCUUUGGAAUGCGAUGCUUGCAAGCUACCAAUCUUGGGUCCAGGUUAUACUUGUCGUGAUUGUUUCAAUAUCAAAAUUCAUGAAUCUUGUCUUGCACUUAUGCGGGAGAUGCAACACACAUUUCAUCUGUUACACCCGCUUCAUCCACAAAUCGGCGAUUGGGAAAAUUGUUCUGCUUGUAGAUUUAAAAUCAUUGAGAGUAUUGGUUAUAGUUGUCGGCAGUGUGAUUUCCACCUUCAUCUUCAUUGUGCUAAUUCCUUGAAGCUAGCUUUAAAAAUUAAGUCUCACAUGCAUAAUCUUUAUUAUUUUGGACCAGAUUAUGAGAAAUCUUACCAAUUAUGUAACAAAUGCAAAAGUUACAUUGGUAAGGAACCUUUCUAUUAUUGCGUGGAGUGCAAUAUGAAUUUGCACUUAAAAUGUGUUCCCA
Molecule: long non-coding RNA, 81702 nt
Filed under: Theobroma cacao (cacao)
Lineage: Eukaryota; Viridiplantae; Streptophyta; Magnoliopsida; Malvales; Malvaceae
Description: long non-coding RNA (TCAC_LNC003633)
Source: RNAcentral